UUACCCUAGCCCAUAACCUAAUACCCGGGUAUUACCUUCAGGAAGCCCGAACACCCCAAAUAUUUUUUUUUCAUUUUACAUUUUUGUUGGUGUAACCAACUCAGAAAGGUUGGAAAAGAGUUCCUACAAAGGUUUUGGACAGUGAUUUUAACCCUAAUGUCAAAAACCUUAAACCUUACCCUAGCCCCAAAACCUAAUACCCGGGUAUUACAUUCAGGAAGCCUGAACACCCCAAAUAUUUUUUUUUUCAUUUUUCAUUUUUUUUUGUUCUAACUAAAUCCAAAAGGUUGGAAAAGAGUUCCUACAAAGGUUUUGGACAGUGAUUUUAAACCUAACGCCAAAAAACUUAAACCUUACCCUAGCCUUAAAAUCUAAUACCUGGGUAUUACAUUCAGGAAGCCCGUAAAACCCAAAUAUUUUUUUUUUCAUUUUUCAUUUUUUUUUGGUCUAACUAACUCCAAAAGGUUGGAAAAGAGUUCCUACAAAGGUUUCGGACAGUGAUUUUAACCCUAAUGCCAAAAAACUUAAACCUUACCCUGGCCUUAAAAUCUAAUACCGGUAUUAAUUAAGGAAGCCCGGAAACCCCAAAUAUUUUUUUUCAUUUUUCAUUCUUUUUUUGGUCUAACUAACUCCAAAAGGUUGGAAAAGAGUUCCUACAAAGGUUUUGGACAGUGAUUUUAACCCUAACGCCAAAAACCUUAAACCUUACCCUAGCCCCAAAACCUAAUACCCGGGUAUUACCUUCAGGAAGCCCGAACACCCCAAAUAUAUUUUUUUUUCAUUUUACAUUUUUGUUGGUGUAACCAACUCCAAAAGGUUGGAAAAAGUUCCUACAAAGGUUUUGGACAGUGAUUUUAACCCUAACUCCAAAAAACUUAAACCUUACCCUAGCCUUAAAAUCUAAUACCCGGGUAUUACCUUCAGGAAGCCCGAACACACCAAAUAUUUUUUUUUCAUUUUACAUUUUUGUUAGUGUAACCAACUCCAAAAGGUUGGAAAAGAGUUCCUACAAAGGUUUUGGACAGUGAUUUUAACCCUAACGCCAAAAACCUUAGACCUUUCCCUAACCCCAAAACCUAAUACCCGGGUAUUACUUUGAGGAAGCCUGACCACCCGAAAUAUUUUUUUUUAUUUUUCUUUUUUUUUUGGUCUAACUAACUCCAAAAAAUUGGAAAAGAGUUCCUACAAAGGUUUUGGACAGUGAUUUCAACCCUAACACCAAAAAACUUAAACCUUACCCUAGCCUUAAAAUCUAAUACCCGGGUAUUAUAUUUAGGAAGCCGGAAAACCCCAAAUAUUCUUUUUUUCAUUUUACAUUUUUGUUGGUGAAACCAACUCCAAAAGGUUGGAAAAGAGUUCCUACAAAGGUUUUGGACAGUGAUUUUAACCCUAACGCCAAAAAACUUAAACCUUACCCUAGCCUUAAAAUCUAAUACCCGGGUAUUACAUUCAGGAAGCCCGAAAACCCCAAAUAUUUUUUUUUUCAUUUUUCAUUUUUUUUUGGUCUAACUAACUCCAAAAGGUUGGAAAAGAGUUCCUACAAAGGUUUUGGACAGUGAUUUUAACCCUAACGCCAAAAACGUUAAACCUUACCAUAGCCCCACAACCUAAUACCCGGGUAUUACUUCUAGGAAGCCUGAACACCCCAAAUAUUUUUUUUUCAUUUUUCUUAUUUUUUUGGUCUAACUAACUCCAAAAGGUUGGAAAAGAGUUCCUACAAAGGUUUUGGACAGUGAUUUUAACCCUAACGCCAAAAACCUUAAACCUUACCCUAGCCCAAAACCUAAUACCCGGGUAUUACUUUCAGGAAGCCCGAAAACCCCAAAUAUUUUUUUUUCAUUUUUCAUUUUUUUUGGUCUAACUAACUCCAAAAGGUUGGAAAAGAGUUCCUACAAAGGUUUUGGACAGUGAUUUUAACCCUAACGCCAAAAACCUUAAACCUUACCCUAGCCUUAAAAUCUAAUACCCAGGUAUUACCUUCAGGAAGCCCGAAAACCCCAAAUAUUUUUUUCUUCAUUUUACAUUUUUGUUGGUGUAACCAACUCCAAAAGGUUGGAAAAGAGUUCCUACUAAGGUUUUGGACAGUCAUUUUAACCCUAACGCCAAAAACCUUAAACCUUGACCUAGCCCCAAAACCUAAUACCAAUUAUUAUUUUCAAAUAGCCCGAAAACCCCAAAUAUAUAUUUUUUUCAUUUUACAUUUAUUUUUUGUCUAACCGACUCCAAAACUUUGGAAAAGAGUUCCUACAAAGGUUUUGGACAGUGAUUUUAACCCUAACGCCAAAACGUUAAACCUUACCAUAGCCCCAUAACCUAAUACCCGGGUAUUACUUUUAGGAAGCCUGAACACCCCAAAUAUUUUUUUUUCAUUUUACUUUUUUUUUUGGUCUUACUAACUCCAAAAGGUUGGAAAAGAGUUCCUACAAAGGUUUUGGACAGUGAUUUUAACCCUAACGCCAAAAACCUUAAACCUUACCCUAGCCUUAAAAUCUAAUACCCGGGUAUUACAUUCAGGAAGCCCGAAAACCCCAAAUAUUUUUUUUUUUUCAUUUUACAUUUUUGUAUGAGUAACCAACUCCAAAAGGUUGGAAAACAGUUCCUACAAAGGUUUUGGAUAGUGAUUUAAACCCUAACGCCAAAAACCUUAAACCUUACCAUAGCCCCAUAACCUAAUACCCGGGUAUUACCUUCAGGAAGCCCGAACACCCCAAAUAUUUUUUGUUUAUUUUACAUUUUUGUUGGUGUAACCAACUCAAAAAGGUUGGAAAAGAGUUCCUACAAAGGUUUUGGACAGUGAUUUUAACCCUAAUGCCAAAAAACUUAAACCUUACCCUGGCCUUAAAAUCUAAUACCCGGGUAAUUACAUUCAGGAAGCCCGAAAACCCCAAAUAUUUUUUUUUUCAUUUUUCAUUUUUUUUUGGUCUAACUAACUCCAAAAGGUUGGAAAAGAGUUCCUACAAAGGUUUUGGACAGUGAUUUUAACCCUAACGCCAAAAACCUUAAACCUUACCAUAGCCCCAUAACCUAAUUAUUUCCUUCAGGAAGCCCGAACACCCCAAAUUUCUUUUUUUCAUUUUUCAUUUUUUUUUGUUCUAACUAACUCCAAAAGGUUGGAAAAGAGUUCCUACAAAGGUUUUGGACAGUGAUUUUAACCCUAACGCCAAAAACCUUAAACCUUACCAUAGCCCCAUAACCUAAUACCCGGGUAUUACCUUCAGGAAGCCCGAACACCCCAAAUAUUUUUUUUUUUCAUUUUUCAUUUUUUUUGGUCUAACUAACUCCAAAAGGUUGGAAAAGAGUUCCUACAAAGGUUUUGGACAGUGAUUUUAACCCUAACGCCAAAAACCUUAAACCUUACCCUAGCCUUAAAAUCUAAUACCCGGGUAUUACUUUUAGGAAGCCUGAAAACCCCAAAUAUUUUUUUUUUCAUUUUUCAUUUUUUUUGGUCUAACUAAAUCCAAAAGGUUGGAAAAGAGUUCCUACAAAGGUUUUGGACAGUGAUUUUAACCCUAACGCCAAAAACAUUAAACCUUACCCAAGCCCCAAAACCAAAUACGCGGGUAUUACCUUCACGAAGCCCGAAAACCCCAAAUAAUUUUUUUGCAUUUUUCAUUAUUUUUUGGUCUAACUAACUCCAAAAUGUUGGUAAAGAGUUCCUACAAAGGUUUUGGACAGUGAUUUUAACCCUAACACCAAAAACCUUAAACCUUCCCCUAGCACCAAAACCCGGGUAUUACCUUCAGGAAGCCCGAAACCCCAAAUAUUUUUUUUUCAUUUUUCAUUUUUUUUGGUCUAACUAACUCCAAAAGGUUGGAAAAGAGUUCCUACAAAGGUUUUGGACAGUGAUUUUGACCCUAACGCCAAAAACGUUAAACCUAACCUUAGCCCCAAAACCUAAUACGGGUAUUACCUUCAGGAAGCCCGAAAACCCCAAAUAUUUUUUUUUCUUUUUUCUUUUUUUUUUUGGUCUAACCAUCUCCAAAAGGUUGGAAAAGAGUUCCUACAAAGGUUUUGGACAGUGAUUUUAACCCUAACGCCAAAAACCUUAAACCUUCCCCUAGCCCCAAAACCUAAUACCUUCAGGAAGCCCGAAAACCCCAAAUAUUUUUUUUUCAUUUUUCAUUUUUUUUUUGGUCUAACUAACUCCAAAAGGUUUGAAAAGAGUUCCUACAAAGGUUUUGGACAGUGAUUUUAACCCCAACACAGAAAACCUUAAACCUACCCAAGCCCCAUAACCUAAUACCCGGGUAAUACCUUCAGGAAGCCCGAAAACCCCAAAUAUUUUUUUUCUUUGUUCUUAUUUUUUUGGUCUAACUAACUCCAAAAGGUUGGAAAAGAGUUCCUAAAAAGUUUUUGGACAGUGAUUUAGACCCUAACGCAAAAAACCUUAAACCUUACACUAGCCCCAAAACCGAAUACCCGGGUAUUACCUUCAGGAAGCCCGAACACCCCAAAAAAUUUUUUUUCAUUUUACAUUUUGUUUUGGUGUAACCAACCUCAAAAGGUCUGAAACAUGUUCCUAAAAAGGUUUUGGACAGUGAUUUCAUCCCUAACGCCAAAAACAUUAAAUCUUACCAUAGCCCCAUAACCUAAUACGGGUAAUACCUUCAGGAAGCCCGAAUACCCCCCCAAAAAAUUUUUCAUUUUUCAUUUUUUUUUUUUUGGUGUAACUAACUCCAAAAUGUUGGAAAAGAGUUCCUAAAAAGGUUUUGGACAGUGAUUUUGACCCUAACGCCAAAAUUUUAAACCUUACCCUAGCCCCAAAACCUAGUACCCGGGUAUUACCUUCAGGAAGCCCGAACACCCCAAAUAUUUUUUUUUUCAUUUUUCGUAAUUUUUUGGUCUUACUAACUCCAAAAGGUCUGAAAAGAGUUCCUACAAAGGUUUUGGACAGUGAUUUUAACCCUAACGCCAAAAACCUUAAACCUUACCCUAGCCCCAAAACCUAAUACCCGGGUAUUACCUUCAGGAAGCCCGAAAACCCCAAAUAUUUUUUUUUCAUUUUUCAUUUUUUUUGGUCUAACUAACUCCAAAAGGUUGGAAAAGAGUUCCUACAAAGGUUUUGGACAGUGAUUUUAACCCUAACGCCAAAAACCUUAAACCUUACCCUAGCCCCAAAACCUAAUACCCGGGUAUUACCUUCAGGAAGCCCGAACACUCCAAAUAUUUUUUUUUUCAUUUUUCAUUUUUUUUGGUCUAACUAACUCCAAAAGGUUGGAAAAGAGUUCCUACAAAGGUUUUGGACAGUGAUUUUAACCCUAACGCCAAAAACCUUAAACCUUACCCUAGCCCCAAAACCUAAUACCCGGGUAUUACCUUCAGGAAGCCCGAAAACCCCAAAUAUUUUUUUUUAAUUUUUCAUUUUUUUUUGGUCUAACUAACUCCAAAAGGUUGGAAAAGAGUUCCUACAAAGGUUUUGGACAGUGAUUUUGACCCUAACGCCAAAAACCUUAAACCUUACCCUAGCCCCAAAACCUAAUACGCGGGUAUUACCUUCAGGAAGCCCGAACACCCCAAAUAUUUUUUUUCAUUUUACAUUUUGUUUUGGUGUAACCAACCUCAAAAGAUUUGAAACAUGUUCCUAAAAAGGUUUUGGACAGUGAUUUUAGCCCUAACGCCAAAAAACUUAAACCUUACCCAUAGCCCCAUAACCUAAUACCCGGGUAUUACCUUCAGGAAGCCCGAACACCCCAAAUAUUUUUUUUUCAUUUUUCAUUUUUUUUGGUCUAACUAACUCCAAAAGGUUGGAAAAGAGUUCCUACAAAGGUUUUGGACAGUGAUUUUGACCCUAACGCCAAAAACCUUAAACCUUACCCUAGCCCCAAAACCUAAUACCCGGGUAUUACCUUCAGGAAGCCCAUAUACCCCAAAUAUUUUUUUUCAUUUUACUUUUUGUUUUGGUGUAACCAACCUCAAAAGGUCUGAAACAUGUUCCUAAAAAGGUUUUGGACAAUGAUUUUGACCCUAACGCCAAAAACCUUAAACCUUACCCUAGCCCCAUAACCUAAUACCCGGGUAUUACCUUCAGGAAGCCGGAACACCCCAAAUAUUUUUUUUUUUCAUUUUUCGUUUUUUUUUGGUCUAACUAACUCCAAAAGGUUGGAAAAGAGUUCCUACAAAGGUUUUGGACAGUGAUUUUAACCCUAACGCCAAAAACCUUAAACCUUACCCUAGCCCCAAAACCUAAUACCUUCAGGAAGCCCGAAAACCCCAAAUAUUUUUUUUUUCAUUUUUCCUUUUUUUUUUGGUCUAACUAACUCCAAAAGGUUGGAAAAGAGUUCCUACAAAGGUUUUGGACAGUGAUUUUAACCCUAACGCCAAAAACCUUAAACCUUCCCCUAGCCCCAAAACCUAAUACCUUCAGGAAGCCCGAAAACCCCAAAUAUCUUUUUUUCUUUUUUCUUUUUUUUUUUGGUCUAACCAUCUCCAAAAGGUUUGAAAAGAGUUCCUACAAAGGUUUUGGACAGUGAUUUUAACCCCAACACAGAAAACCUUAAACCUACCCAAGCCCCAUAACCUAAUACCCGGGUAAUACCUUCAGGAAGCCCGAAAACCCCAAAUAUUUUUUUUCUUUGUUCUUAUUUUUUUGGUCUAACUAACUCCAAAAGGUUGGAAAAGAGUUCCUAAAAAGUUUUUGGACAGUGAUUUAGACCCUAACGCAAAAAACCUUAAACCUUACACUAGCCCCAAAACCGAAUACCCGGGUAUUACCUUCAGGAAGCCCGAACACCCCAAAUAUUUUUUUUUCAUUUUACAUUUUUUUUUUGGUCUAACUAACUCCAAAAGGUUGGAAAAGAGUUCCUACAAAGGUUUUGGACAGUGAUUUUAACCCUAACGCCAAAAACCUUAAACCUUACCAUAGCCCCAAAACCUAAUACGGGUAAUACCUUCAGGAAGCGCGAAUACCCCCAAAAAAUUUUUUUCAUUUUUCAUUUCUUUUUUUUUGGUGUAACUAACUCCAAAAUGUUGGAAAAGAGUUCCUAAAAAGGUUUUGGACAGUGAUUUUGACCCUAACGCCAAAAUUUUAAACCUUACCCUAGCCCCAAAACCUAGUACCCGGGUAUUACCUUCAGGAAGCCCGAACACCCCAAAUAUUUUUUUUUUCAUUUUUUCGUUAUUUUUUGGUCUAACUAACUCCAAAAGGUUGGAAAAGAGUUCCUACAAAGGUUUUGGACAGUGAUUUUAACCCUAACGCCAAAAACCUUAAACCUUACCCUAGCCCCAUAACCUAAUACCCGGGUAUUACCUUCAGGAAGCCCGAAAACCCCAAAUAUUUUUUUUUCAUUUUUCAUUUUUUUUGGUCUAACUCCAAAAGGUUGGAAAAGAGUUCCUACAAAGGUUUUGGACAGUGAUUUUAACCCUAACGCCAAAAACCUUAAACCUUACCCUAGCCCCAAAACCUAAUACCCGGGUAUUACCUUCAGGAAGCCGAACACCCCAAAUAUUUUUUUUUCAUUUUUCAUUUUUUUUUUGGUCUAACUAACUCCAAAAGGUUGGAAAAGAGUUCCUACAAAGGUUUUGGACAGUGAUUUUAACCCUAACGCCAAAAACCUUAAACCUUACCCUAGCCCCAAAACCUAAUACCUUCAGGAAGCCCGAACACCCCAAAUAUUUUUUUUUUCAUUUUUCAUUUUUUUUUUUUUGGUGUAACUAACUCCAAAAGGUUGGAAAAGAGUUCCUACAAAGGUUUUGGACAGUGAUUUUAACCCUAACGCCAAAAACCUUAAACCUUACCCUAGCCCCAAAACCUAAUACCUUCAGGAAGCCCGAAAACCCCAAAUAUUUUUUUUUCUUUUUUCUUUUUUUUUUGGUCUAACUAACUCCAAAAGGUUGGAAAAGAGUUCCUACAAAGGUUUUGGACAGUGAUUUUGACCCUAACGCCAAAAACGUUAAACCUUACCCAAGCCCCAUAACCUAUUACCCGGGUAUUACCUUCAGGAAGCCCGAAAACCCCAAAUAUUUUUUUUCUUUGUUCUUUUUUUUUUUGGUCUAACUAACUCCAAAAGGUUGGAAAAGAGUUCCUACAAAGGUUUUGGACAGUGAUUUUGACCCUAACGCCAAAAACCUUAAACCUUACCCUAGCCCCAAAACCUAAUACCCGGGUAUUACCUUCAGGAAGCCCGAACACCCCAAAUAUUUUUUUUUUCAUUUUACAUUUUGUUUUGGUGUAACCAACUCCAAAAGGUUGGAAAAGAGUUCCUAAAAAGGUUUUGGACAGUGAUUUUAUCCCUAACGCCAAAAACAUUAAAUCUUACCAUAGCCCCAUAACUUAAUACGGGUAAUACCUUCAGGAAGCCCGAAUACCCCCCCAAAAAAUUUUUCAUUUUUCAUUUUUUUUUUUUUGGUGUAACUAACUCCAAAAUGUUGGAAAAGAGUUCCUAAAAAGGUUUUGGACAGUGAUUUUAACCCUAACGCCAAAAACCUUAAACCUUACCCUAGCCCCAAAACCUAAUACCCGGGUAUUACCUUCAGGAAGCCCGAACACCCCAAAUAUUUUUUUUUCAUUUUUCAUUUUUUGGUCUAACUAACUCCAAAAGGUUGGAAAAGAGUUCCUACAAAGGUUUUGGACAGUGAUUUUGACCCUAACGCCAAAAACCUUAAACCUUUCCCUAGCCCCAAAACCUAAUACCCGGGUAAUACCUUCAGGAAGCCCGAAAACCCCAAAUAUUUUUUUUUCAUUUUUCAUUUUUUAUUAGUCUUACUAACUCCAAAAGGUUGGAAAAGAGUUCCUACAAAGGUUUUGGACAGUGAUUUUGACCAUAACGCCAAAAACGUUAAACCUUACCCUAGCCCCAAAACCUAAUACCAGGGUAUUACCUUCAGGAAGCCCGAACACCCCAAAUAUUUUUUUUUCAUUUUUUUUUUUUUUGGUCUAACUAACUCCAAAAGGUUGGAAAAGAGUUCCUACAAAGGUUUUGGACAGUGAUUUUAACCCUAACGCCAAAAACCUUAAACCUUACCCUAGCCCCAUAACCUAAUACCGGGUAUUACCUUCAGGAAGCCCGAAAACCCCAAAUAUUUUUUUUUUUAAUUUUUCAUUUUUUUUUGGUCUAACUAACUCCAAAAGGUUGGAAAAGAGUUCCUACAAAGGUUUUGGACAGUGAUUUUAACCCUAACGCCAAAAACCUUAAACCUUCCCCUAGCCCCAAAACCUAAUACCCGGGUAUUACCUUCAGGAAGCCCGAACACCCCAAAUAUUUUUUUUUCAUUUUUCAUUUUUUUUGGUGUAACUAACUCCAAAAGGUUGGAAAAGAGUUCCUACAAAGGUUUUGGACAGUGAUUUUAACCCUAACGCCAAAAAACUUAAACCUUACCCAUAGCCCCAUAACCUAAUACCCGGGUAUUACCUUCAGGAAGCCCGAACAUCCCAAAUAUAUAUUUUUCAUUUUUCGUUUUUUUUUGGUCUAACUAACUCCAAAAGGUUGGAAAAGAGUUCCUACAAAGGUUUUGGACAGUGAUUUUAACCCUAACGCCAAAAACCUUAAACCUUACCCUAGCCCCAAAACCUAAUACCCGGGUAUUACCUUCAGGAAGCCCAUAAACCCCAAAUAUUUUUUUUUCAUUUUACUUUUUUUUUGGUGUAACCUAACUCCAAAAGGUUGGAAAAGAGUUCCUACAAAGGUUUUGGACAAUGAUUUUGACCCUAACGCCAAAAACCUUAAACCUUACCCUAGCCCCAUAACCUAAUACCCGGGUAUUACCUUCAGGAAGCCGGAACACCCCAAAUAUUUUUUUUUUUCAUUUUUCGUUUUUUUUUGGUCUAACUAACUACAAAAUAUUGGAAAAGAGUUCCUACAAAGGUUUUGGACAGUGAUUUUGAGCCUAACGCCAAAAACCUUAAACCUUACCCUAGCCCCAAAACCUAAUACCUUCAGGAAGCCCGAAAACCCCAAAUAUUUUUUUUUCAUUUUUCAUUUUUUUUUUUUGGUCUAACUAACUCCUAAAGGUUGGAAAAGAGUUCCUACAAAGGUUUUGGACAGUGAUUUUAACCCUAACGCCAAAAACUUAAACCUUACCCUAGCCCCAAAACCUAAUACCCGGGUAUUACCUUCAGGAAGCCCGAAAACCCCAAAUAUUUUUUUUUCAUUUUCAUUUUUUUUUUUGGUCUAACUAACUCCAAAAGGUUGGAAAAGAGUUCCUACAAAGGUUUUGGACAGUGAUUUUAACCCUAACGCCAAAAACCUUAAACCUUACCCUAGCCCCAUAACCUAAUACCCGGGUAUUACCUUCAGGAAGCCUGAAAACCCCAAAUAUUUUUUUUCUUUUUUCUUUUUUUUUUUUGGUCUAACUAACUCCAAAAGGUUGGAAAAGAGUUCCUACAAAGGUUUUGGACAGUGAUUUUAACCCUAACGCCAAAAACCUUAAACCUUACCCUAGCCCCAAAACCUAAUACCCGGGUAUUACCUUCAGGAAGCCCGAACACCCCAAAUAUUUUUUUUCAUUUUACAUUUUGUUUUGGUGUAACCAACCUCAAAAGGUCUGAAACAUGUUCCUAAAAAGGUUUUGGACAGUGAUUUUAGCCCUCACGCCAAAAACCUUAAAUCUUAUCAUAGCCCCAUAACCUAAUACCCGGGUAUUACCUUCAGGAAGCCCUAACACCCCAAAUAUUUUUUUUUUUCAUUUUUUUUUUUUUUUGGUGUAACUAACUCCAAAAGGUUGGAAAAGAGUUCCUACAAAGGUUUUGGACAGUGAUUUUAACCCCAACGCAGAAAACCUUAAACCUUACCCAAGCCCCAUAACCUAUUACCCGGGUAUUACCUUCAGGAAGCCCGAAAACCCCAAAUAUUUUUUUUCUUUGUUCUUUUUUUUUUUGGUCUAACUAACUCCAAAAGGUUGGAAAAGAGUUCCUACAAAGGUUUUGGACAGUGAUUUUAACCCCAACGCCAAAAACGUUAAACCUUCCCCUAGCCCCAAAACCUAAUACCUUCAGGAAGCCCGAAAACCCCAAAUAUUUUUUUCUUUUUUCUUUUUUUUUGGUAUAACUAACUCCAAAAGGUUGGAAAAGUGUUCCUACAAAGGUUUUGAACAGUGAUUUUAACCCUAACGCCAAAAACCUAAGACCUUUCCAAAGUCCCAUAACCUAAGACCUGGGAAUUACCUUCAGGAAGCCCGAACACCCCAAAUAUUUUUGUUUCAUUGUUCAUUUUUUUUGGUCUAACUAACUCCAAAAGGUUGGAAAAGAGUUCCUACAGAGGAUUUGGAUAGUGAUUUUGACCCUAACGCCAAAAACCUUAAACCUUACCCUAGCACCAAAACCAAAUACCCGGGUAUUACCUUCAGGAAGCCCCAAAACCCCAAAUAUUUAUUUUUCAAUUUUCCUUUAUUUUUUGGUCAAACUAACUCCAAAAGGUUGGAAAAGAGUUCCUAAAAAGUUUUUGGAUAGUGAUUUUAACCCUAACGCCAAAAACCUUAAACCUUACCCUAGCCCCAAAACCUAAUACCCGGGUAUUACCGUCAGGAAGCCCGAAACCCCAAAUAUUUUUUUUUCAUUUUUCAUUAUUAUUUGGUCUAACUAACUCCAAAAUGUUGGGAAAGAUUUCCUACAAAGGUUUUGGACAGUGAUUUUGACCCUAACGCCAAAAACGUUAAACCUUACCCUAGCCCCAAAAUCUUAUACCCGGGUAUUACCUUCAGGAAGCCCGAACCCUCCAAAUAUAUUUUUUUUUCAUUUUUCGUUAUUUUUUGGUCUAACUAAUUCCAAAAGGUUGGAAAAGAGUUCCAAAAAAGGUUUUGGACAGUGAAUUUAACCCUAACGCCAAAAACCUUAAACCUUACCCUAGCCCCAAAACCUAAUACGCGGUAUUACCUUCAGGAAGCCCGAAAACCCAAAAUAUUUUUUUUUCUUUUUUCUUUUUUUUUUGGUCUAACCAUCUCCAAAAGGUUGGAAAAGAUUUCCUACAAAGGUUUUGGACAGUGAUUUUAACCCUAACGCCAAAAACCUUAAACCUUACCCUAGCCCCAAAACCUAAUACGCGGGUAUUACCUUCAGGAAGCCCGAAAACCCAAAAUAUUUUUUUUUCAUUUUUCAUUAUUAUUUGGUGUAACUAACUCCAAAAGGUUGGAAACGAGUUCCUACAAAGGUUUUGGACAGUGAUUUUAACCCUAACGCCAAAAACCUUGAACCUUCCCCUAGCCCCAUAACCGAAUACCCGUGUAAUACCUUCAGGAAGCCCGAAAACCCCAAAUAUUUUUUUUCUUUUUUCUUUUUUUUUUUUUGUCUAACUAAAUCCAAAAGGUUGGAAAAGAGUUCCUACAAAGGUUUUGGACAGUGAUUUUAACCCUAACGCCAAAAACCUUAAACCUUCCCCUAGCCCCAAAACCUAAUACCUUCAGGAAGCCCAAAAACCCAAAUAUUUUUUUUCUUUUUUCUUUUUUUUUUGGUCUAACUAACUCCAAAAGGUUGGAAAAGAGUUCCUACAAAGGUUUUGGACAGUGAUUUUAACCCCAACGCAGAAAACCUUAAACCUACCCAAGCCCCAUAACCUAUUACCCGGAUAUUACCUUCAGGAAGCCUGAAAACACAAAAUAUUUUUUUUUCAUUUUUCAUUUUUUUUUUUGGUGUAACUAACUCCAAAAGUUUGGAAAAGAGUUCCUAAAAAGGUUUUGGACAGUGAUUUUGACCCUAACGCCAAAAACGUUAAACCUUACCCUAGCCCCAAAACCUAAUACCUUCAGGAAGCCCGAAAACCCCAAAUAUUUUUUUUUCAUUUUUCUUUUUUUUUUUUGGUCUAACUAACUCCAAAAGGUUGGAAAAGAGUUCCUACAAAGGUUUUGGACAGUGAUUUUAACCCCAACGCCAAAAACCUUAAACCUACCCUACCCCCAUAACCUAAUACCCGGGUAUUACCUUCAGGAAGCCCGAAAACCCCAAAUAUUUUUUUUCUUUUUUCUUUUUUUUUUGGUCUAACUAACUCCAAAAGGUUGGAAAAGAGUUCCUACAAAGGUUUUGGACAGUGAUUUUAACCCUAACGCCAAAAAUCUUAAACCUUACCAUAGCCCCAAAACCAAAUACCCGGGUAUUACCUUCAGGAAGUCCGAACACCCCCAAAUUUUUUUUUCAUUUUACAUUUUGUUUUGGUGUAACCAACCUCAAAAGGUCUGAAACAUGUUCCUAAAAAGGUUUUGGACAGUGAUUUUAGCCCUCACGCCAAAAAACUUAAAUCUUAUCAUAGCCCCAUAACCUAAUACCCGGGUAUUACCUUCAGGAAGCCCGAACAUCCCAAAUAUAUAUAUUUUUUUCUUUUUUUUUUUUUUUUUGGUCUAACUAACUCCAAAAUGUUGGAAAAGAGUUCCUACAAAGGUUUUGGACAGUGAUUUUGACCCUAACGCCAAAAACCUUAAACCUUACCCUAGCCCCAAUACCUAAUACCCGGGUAUUACCUCCAGGAAGCCCGAAAACCCCAAAUAUUUUUUUUCAUUUUACAUUUUGUUUUGGUGUAACCAACCUCAAAAGGUCUGAAACAUGUUCAUAAAAGGUUUUGGACAGUGAUUUUAGCCCUCAAGCCAAAAACCUUAAAUCUUACCAUAGCCCCAUAACCUAAUACAGGUAUUACCUUCAGGAAGCCCGAAUACCCCAAAUAUUUUUUUUUCAUUUUUCAUUUUUUUUUUUUUUGGUGUAACUAACUCACAAAUGUUGGAAAAGAGUUCCUACAAAGGUUUUGGACAGUGAUUUUGACCUUAACGCCAAAAACCUUAAACCUUACCCUAGCCCCAUAACCUAAUACCCGGGUAUUACCUUCAGAAAGCCCGAACUCCCCAAGUAUUUUUUUUUUUCAUUUUCAUAUUUUUUUUGGUCUAACUAACUCACAAAUGUUGGAAAAGAGUUCCUACAAAGGUUUUGGACAGUGAUUUUGACCCUAACGCCAAAAACCUUAAACCUUACCCUAGCCCCAAAACCUAUUACCUUCAGGAAGCCCGGAAACCCCAAAUAUUUUUUUUUCAUUUUUCUUUUGUUUUUUUGGUGUAACUAACUCCAAAAGGUUGGAAAAGAGUUCCUACAAAGGUUUUGGACAGUGAUUUUAACCCCAACGCAGAAAACCUUAAACCUACCAAAGCCCCAUUACCUAUUACCCGGGUAUUACCUUCAGGAAGCCCGAAAACCCCAAAUAUUUUUUUUCUUUGUUCUUUUUUUUUUUGGUCUAACUAACUCCAAAAGGUUGGAAAAGAGUUCCUACAAAGGUUUUGGACAGUGAUUUUAACCCCAACGCCAAAAACCUUAAACCUUCCCCUAGCCCCAAAACCUAAUACCUUCAGGAAGCCCGAAAACCCCAAAUAUUUUUUUCUUUUUUCUUUUUUUUUCGGUGUUACUAACUCCAAAAGGUUGGAAAAGAGUUCCUACAAAGGUUUUGGACAGUGAUUUUAACCCUAACGCCAAAAACCUUAAACCUUACCCUAGCCCCAAAACCUAAUACCCGGGAAUUACCUUCAGGAAGCCCGAAAACCCCAAAUAUACUUUUUUCAUUUUAAAUUGUUUUUUGGUGUAACCAACUCCAAAAGGUCUGAAACAUGUUCCUCAAAAGGUUUUGGACAGUGAUUUUAACCCUAACGCCAAAAACCUUAAACCUUACCCUAGCCCCAUAACCAAAUACCCGGUUAUUACCUUCAGGAAGCCCGAACACAACAUAUAUAUAUUGUUUUUUUUUCUUCUUUUUUUUUUGGGUCUAACUAACACCAAAAGGUUCGAAAAGAGUUCCUACAAAGGUUUUGGACAGUGAUUUUAACCCUGACGCCAAAAACCUUAAACCUUACCCAAGCCCCAAAACCUUAUACCCGGGUAUUACCUUCAGGAAGCCCUAAUACCCCGAGUAUUUUUUUUUCAUUUUUCAUUUUUUUUUUGGUCUAACUAACUCCAAAAUGUUGGAAAAGAGUUCCUACAAAGGUUUUGGACAGUGAUUUUAACCCUAACGCCAAAUACCUUAAACCUUACCCUAGCCCCAAAAUCUAAUACCUUCAGGAAGCCCGAAAAACCCAAAUAUUUUUUUUUCAUUUUUCUUUAUUUUUUGGUCUAACUAACUCCAAAAGGUUGGAAAAGAGUUCCUACAAAGGUUUUGGACAGUGAUUUUACCCCAACGCCAAAAACCUUAAACCUAACCUAGCCCCAAAACCUAAUACCCGGGUAAUACCUUCAGGAAGCCGGAAAACCCCAAAUAUUUUUCUUCUUUUUUCUUUUUUUUUUUUUGGUCUAACUAACUCCAAAAGGUUAGAAAAGAGUUCCUACAAAGGUUUUGGACAGUGAUUUUAACCCCAACGCCAAAAACCUUAAACCUUCCCCUAGCCCCAAAACCUAAUACCUUCAGGAAGCCCGAAAACCCCAAAUAUUUUUUUUUCAUUUUUCAUUAUUAUUUUUUGGUGUAACUAAAUCCAAAAGGUUGGAAAAGAGUUCCUACAAAGGUUUUGGACAGUGAUUUUAGCCCUCACGCCAAAAACCUUAAAUCUUACCAUAGCCCCAUAACCUAAUAUGGGUAUUACCUUCAGGAAGCCCAAAUACCCCAAAUAUUUCUUUUUCAUUUUUCAUUUUUUUUUUUUUGGUGUAACUAACUCCAAAAGGUUGGAAAAGAGUUCCUACAAAGGUUUUGGACAGUGAUUUUGACCCUAACGCCAAAAACGUUAAACCUUACCCUAUUCCCAAAACCUAAUACCGGGUAUUACCUUCAGGAAGCCCGAAAACCCCAAAUUUUUUUUUUUCAUUUUUUCAUUUUUUUUGGUCUAACUAACUCCAAAAGGUUGGAAAAGAGUUCCUACAAAGGUUUUGGACAGUGAUUUUAACCCUAACGCCAAAAACCUUAAACCUUCCCCUAGCCCCAAAACCUAAUACCCGGGUAUUACCUUCAGGAAGCCCGAAAACCCCAAAUAUUUUUUUUUCAUUUUUCAUUUUUUUUUGGUCUAACUAACUCCAAAAGGUUGGAAAAGAGUUCCUACAAAGGUUUUGGACAGUGAUUUUAACCCUAACGCCAAAAACCUUAAACCUUACCCUAGCCCCAUAAACUAAUACCGGGUAUUACAGGAAUCCCGAAAACCCCAAAUAUUUUUUUUUCAUUUUUCAUUAUUAUUUGGUGUAACUAACUCCAAAAGGUUGGAAAAGAGUUCCUACAAAGGUUUUGGACAGUGAUUUUAACCCUUACGCCAAAAACCUUAAACCUUCCCGUAGCCCCAAAGCCUAAUACCUUCAAGAAGCCCGAAAACCCCAAAUAUAUUUUUUUCAUUUUUUUUUUGUUUUUUUUGGUGUAACUAUCUCCAAAAGGUUGGAAAAGAGUUCCUACAAAGGUUUUGGACAGUGAUUUUAAGCCCAACGCCAAAAACCUUAAACCUACCGUAGCCCCAAAACCUAAUACGCGGGUAUUACCUUCAGGAAGCCCGAAAACCCCAAAUAUUUUUUCUGCAUUUUUCAUUAUCAUUUAGUCUAACUACCUCCAAAAUGUUGGAAAAGAGUUCCUACAAAAGUUUUGGACAGUGAUUUUAACCCUAACGCCAAAAACCUUAAACCUUCCCCUAGCCCCAAAACCUAAUACGUGGGUAUUACCUUCAGGAAUCCCAAAAACCCAAAAUAUUUUUUUUCUUUUUUCUUUUUUUUUUUUGGUUUAACUAACUCCAAAAGGUUGGAAAAGAGUUCCUACAAAGGUUUUGGACAGUGAUUUUGACCCUAACGCCAAAAACCUUAAACCUUACCAUAGCCCGAAAACCAAAUACCCGGGUAUUACCUUCAGGAAGCCCGAAUACCCCAAAUAUUUUUUUUUUCAUUUUUCAUUAUUAUUUGGUCUAACUAACUCCAAAAGGUUGGAAAAGAGUUCCUACAAAGGUUUUGGACAGUGAUUUUAACCCUAACGCCAAAAACCUUAAACCUUUCCCUAGCCCCAAAACCUAAUACCCGGGUAUUACCUUCAGGAAGCCCGAACACCCCAAAUAUUUUUUUUUUCAUUUUUCGUUAUUUUUUGGUCUUACUAACUCCAAAAGGUCUGAAACAUGUUCCUAAAAAGGUUUUGGACAGUGAUUUUAACCCUAACGCCAAAAACCUUAAACCUUUCCCUAGCCCCAAAACCUAAUACCCGGGUAUUACCUUCAGGAAGCCCGAAAACCCCAAAUAUUUUUUUUUCUUUUCUUUUUUAUUUUUUGGUCUAACUUACUCCAAAAGGUCUGAAAAGAGUUCCUUAAAAGGUUUUGGACAGUGAUUUUAACCCUAACGCCAAAAACCUUAAACCUUACCCUAGCCCCAUAACCUAAUAACCUGGUAUUACCUUCAGGAAGCCCGAAAACCCCAAAUAUUUUUUUUUCUUUUCUUUUUUUUUUUGGUCUAACUUACUCCAAAAGGUUGGAAAAGAGUUCCUACAAAGGUUUUGGACAGUGAUUUUAACCCCAACGCCAAAAACAUUAAACCUUACCCUAGCCCCAAAACCAAAUACGCGGGUAUUACCUUCACGAAGCCCGAAAACCCCAAAUAUUUUUUUUGCAUUUUUCAUUAUUAUUUGGUCUAACUAACUCCAAAAUAUUGGGAAAGAGUUCCUACAAAGGUUUUGGACAGUGAUUUUAACCCUAACACCAAAAACCUUAAACCUUCCCCUAGCCCCAAAACCUAAUACCUUCAGGAAGCCCGAAAACCCCAAAUAUUUUUUCUUCAUUUUUCAUUUUUUAUUGGUCUAACUAACUCCAAAAGGUUGGAAAAGAGUUCCUACAAAGGUUUUGGACAGUGAUUUUAACCCUAACGCCAAAAACGUUAAACCUUACCCUAGCCCCAAAACCAAAUACCCGGGUAUUACCUUCAGGAAGCCCGAAAACCCCAAAUAUUUUUUUUCUUUUUUUUUUUUUUUUUGGUCUAACUAACUCCAAAAGGUUGGAAAAGAGUUCCUACAAAGGUUUUGGACAGUGAUUUUAACCCUAACGCCAAAAACCUUAAACCUUCCCCUAGCCCCAAAACCUAAUACGCGGGUAUUACCUUCAGGAAUCCCGAAAACCCCAAUUUUUUUUUUUUCAUUUUUCAUUAUUAUUUGGUCUAAUUAACUCCAAAAUGUUGGAAAAGAGUUCCUACAAAGGUUUUGGACAGUGAUUUUAACCCUAACGCCAAAAACCUUAAACCUUCCCCUAGCCCCAAAACCUAAUACCCGGGUAAUACCUUCAGGAAGCCCGAAAACCCCAAAUAUUUUUUUUUCAUUUUUCAUUGUUUUUUUUCGGUGAAACUUACUCCAAAAGGUUGGAAAAGAGUUCCUACAAAGGUUUUGGACAGUGAUUUUAACCCCAACGCCAAAAACCUUAAACCUUCCCGUAGCCCCAAAACCUAAUACCUUCAAGAAUCCCGAAAACCCCAAAUAUUUUUUUUUCAUUUUUCAUUAUUAUUUGGACUAACUAACUCCAAAAUGUUGGAAAAGAGUUCCUACAAAGGUUUUGGACAGUGAUUUUAACCCUUACGCCAAAAACCUUAAACCUUCCCGUAGCCCCAAAACCUAAUACCUUCAGGAAGCCCGAAAACCCCAAAUAUUUUUUUUUCAUUUUUUUUUUUUUUUUUUGGUCUAACUAACUCCAAAAGGUUGGAAAAGAGUUCCUACAAAGGUUUUGGACAGUGAUUUUAACCCUAACGCCAAAAACCUUAAACCUUACCCUAGCCCCAAAACCUAAUACGCUGGUAUUACCUUCAGGAAGCCCGAAAACCCCAAAUAUUUUUUUUUUCUUUUUUCUUUUUUUUUGGUCAAACCAUCUCCAAAAGGUUGGAAAAGAGUUCCUACAAAGGUUUUGGACAGUGAUUUUAUCCCUAACGCCAAAAACCUUAAACCUUUCCCUACCCCCAAAACCUAAUACCCGGGUAUUACCUUCAGGAAGCCCGAACACCCCAAAUAUUUAUUUUUUUCAUUUUUCGUUAUUUUUUGGUCUUACUAACUCCAAAAGGUCUGAAACAUGUUCCUAAAAAGGUUUUGGACAGUGAUUUUAACCCUAACGCCAAAAACCUUAAACCUUUCCCUAGCCCCAAAACCUAAUACCCGGGUAUUACCUUCAGGAAGCCCGAAUACCCCAAAUAUUUUUUUUUCAUUUUUCAUUAUUAUUUGGUCUAACUAACUCCAAAAGGUUGGAAAAGAGUUCCUACAAAGGUUUUGGACAGUGAUUUUAACCCUAACGCCAAAAACCUUAAACCUUCCCCUAGCCCCAAGACCUAAUACGCGGGUAUUACCUUCAGGAAGCCCGAAAACCCCAAAUAUUUUUUUUUCAUUUUUCAUUUUUUUUGGUCUAAUUAACUCCAAAAGGUUGGAAAAGAGUUCCUACAAAGGUUUUGGACAGUGAUUUUAACCCUAACGCCAAAAACCUUAAACCUUCCCCUAGCCCCAAAACCUAAUACCCGGGUAUUACCUUCAGGAAGCCCGAAAACCCCAAAUAUUUUUUUUUCAUUUUUCGUUAUUUUUUGGUCUUACUAACUCCAAAAGGUCUGAAACAUGUUCCUAAAAAGGUUUUGGACAGUGAUUUUAACCCUAACGCCAAAAACCUUAAACCUUUCCCUAGCCGCAAAACCUAAUACCUAAUUUUAUUACCUUCAGGAAGCCCGAAAACCCCAAAUAUUUUUUUUUCUUUUCUUUUUUUUUUUUGGUCUAACUAACUCCAAAAGGUCUGAAACAUGUUCCUUAAAAGGUUUUGGACAGUGAUUUUAACCCUAAGGCCAAAAACCUUAAACCUUACCCUAGCCCCAUAACCUAAUACCCGGGUAUUACCUUCAGAAAGCCCGAACACCCCAAGUAUUUUUUUUUUCAUUUUUCAUAUUUUUUUUUGGUCUAACUAACUCACAAAUGUUGGAAAAGAGUUCCUACAAAGGUUUUGGACAGUGAUUUUGACCCUAACGCCAAAAACCUAAGACCUUUCCAAAGUCCCAUAACCUAAUACCUGGGAAUUACCUUCAGGAAGCCCGAACACCCCAAAUAUUUUUGUUUCAUUGUUCAUUUUUUUUGGUCUAACUAACUCCAAAAGGUUGGAAAAGAGUUCCUACAGAGGUUUUGGAUAGUGAUUUUGACCCUAACGCCAAAAACCUUAAACCUUACCCUAGCACCAAAACCAAAUACCCGGGUAUUACCUUCAGGAAGCCCCAAAACCCCAAAUAUUUAUUUUUCAAUUUUCCUUUAUUUUUUGGUCAAACUAACUGCAAAAGGUUGGAACAGAGUUCCUAAAAAGUUUUUGGACAGUGAUUUUAACCCUAACGCCAUAAACCUUAAACCUUACCUUAGCCCCAAAACCUAAUACCCUAAUACCCGUAUUACCUUCAGGAAGCCCGAAAACCCCAAAUAUUUUUUUUUCAUUUUUCAUUACUAUUUGGUCUAACUAACUCCAAAAUGUUGGGAAAGAGUUCCUACAAAGGUUUUGGACAGUGAUUUUGACCCUAACGCCAAAAACGUUAAACCUUACCCUAGCCCCAAAAUCUUAUACCCGGGUAUUACCUUCAGGAAGCCUGAACACUCCAAAUAUUUUUUUUUUCAUUUUUCUUUUUUUUUUGGUCUAACUAACUCCAAAAGGUUGGAAAAGAGUUCCAAAAAAGGUUUUGGACAGUGAUUUUAACCCUAACGCCAAAAGCCUUAAACCUUACCCUAGCCCCAAUACCUAAUACCCGGGUAUUACCUCCAGGAAGCCCGAAAACCCCAAAUAUUUUUUUUCAUUUUACAUUUUGUUUUGGUAUAACCAACCUCAAAAGGUCUGAAACAUGUUCAUAAAAGGUUUUGGACAGUGAUUUUAGCCCUCAAGCCAAAAACCUUAAAUCUUACCAUAGCCCCAUAUCCUAAUACAGGUAUUACCUUCAGGAAGCCCAAAUACCCCAAAUAUUUUUUUUUCAUUUUUCAUUAUUAUUUGGUCUAACUAACUCCAAAAGGUUGGAAAAGAGUUCCUACAAAGGUUUUGGACAGUGAUUUGAACCCUAACGCCAAAAACCUUAAACCUUACCCUAGCCCCAUAACCUAAUACCCGGGUAUUACCUUCAGGAAGCCCGAACACCCCAAAUAUUUUUUUUUUCAUUUUUCAUAUUUUUUUUUGGUCUAACUAACUCACAAAUGUUGGAAAAGAGUUCCUACAAAGGUUUUGGACAGUGAUUUUGACCCUAACGCCAAAAACCUUAAACCCUAGCCCCAAAACCUAUUACCUUCAGGAAGCCCGGAAACCCCAAAUAUUUUUUUUUCAUUUUUCCACUUUUUUUUUUUGGUGUAACUAACUCCAAAAGGUUGGAAAAGAGUUCCUACAAAGGUUUUGGACAGUGAUUUUAACCCCAACGCAGAAAACCUUAAACCUUACCCUAGCCCCAUAACCUAACACCCGGGUAUUACCUUCAGAAAGCCCGAACACCCCAAGUAUUUUUUUUUUCAUUUUUCAUAUUUUUUUUUGGUCUAACUAACUCACAAAUGUUGGAAAAGAGUUCCUACAAAGGUUUUGGACAGUGAUUUUGACCCUAACGCCAAAAACCUUAAACCUUACCCUACACCCAUAACCUAAUACGGGUAUUACCUUCAGGAAGCCCGAAAACCCAAAAUAUUUUUUUUUCAUUUUUCAUUAUUAUUUGGUGUAACUAACUCCAAAAGGUUGGAAACGAGUUCCUACAAAGAUUUUGGACAGUGAUUUUAACCCCAACGCCAAAAACCUUAAACCUACCCUAGCCCCAUGACCUAAUACCUGGGUAUUACGUUAAGGAAGCCCGAAAACCCCAAAUAUUUUUUUUUUUUUUUUUUUUUUUUUGGUCUAACUAACUCCAAAAGGUUGGAAAAGAGUUCCUACAAAGGUUUUGGACAGUGAUUUUAACCCCAACGCAGAAAACCUUAAACCUACCCAAGCCCCAUAACCUAUUACCCGGAUAUUACCUUCAGGAAGCCUGAAAACACAAAAUAUUUUUUUUUCAUUUUUCUUUUUUUUUUGUGUAACUAACUCCAAAAGGUUGGAAAAGAGUUCCUAAAAAGGUUUUGGACAGUGAUUUUGACCCUAACGCCAAAAACCUUAAACCUUACCCUAGCCCCAAAACCUAAUACCUUCAGGAAGCCCGAAAACCCCAAAUAUUUUUUUUUCAUUUUUCAUUUUUUUUUUGGUCUAACUAACUCCAAAAGGUUGGAAAAGAGUUCCUACAAAGGUUUUGGACAGUGAUUUUAACCCCAACGCCAAAAGCCUUAAACCUACCCUACCCCCAUAACCUAAUACCCGGGUAUUACCUUCAGGAAGCCCGAAAACCCCAAAUAUUUUUUUUUCAUUUUUUUUUUUUUUUUGGUCUAACUAACUCCAAAAGGUUGGAAAAGAGUUCCUACAAAGGUUUUGGACAGUGAUUUUAACCCUAACGCCAAAAACCUUAAACCUUCCCCUAGCCCCAAAACCAAAUACCCGGGUAUUACCUUCAGGAAGUCCGAACACCCCAAAAUUUUUUUUUCAUUUUACAUUUUGUUUUGGUGUAACCAACCUCCAAAAGGUCUGAAACAUGUUCCUAAAAAGGUUUUGGACAGUGAUUUUAGCCCUCACGCCAAAAAACUUAAAUCUUAUCAUAGCCACAUAACCUAAUACCCGGGUAUUAUCUUCAGGAAGCCCGAACAUCCCAAAUAUAUAUAUAUAUAUAUAUAUAUAUAUUUUUUUUUUUUGGUCUAACUAACUCCAAAAUGUUGGAAAAGAGUUCCUACAAAGGUUUUGAACAGUGAUUUUGACCCUAACGCCAAAAACCUUAAACCUUACCCUAGCCCCAAUACCUAAUACCCGGGUAUUACCUCCAGGAAGCCCGAAAACCCCAAAUAUUUUUUUUCAUUUUACAUUUUGUUUUGGUAUAACCAACCUCAAAAGGUCUGAAACAUGUUCAUAAAAGGUUUUGGACAGUGAUUUUAGCCCCUAAAGCCAAAAACCUUAAAUCUUACCAUAGCCCCAUAUCCUAAUACAGGUAUUACCUUCAGGAAGCCCAAAUACCCCAAAUAUUUUUUUUUCAUUUUUCAUUAUUAUUUGGUCUAACUAACUCCAAAAGGUUGGAAAAGAGUUCCUACAAAGGUUUUGGACAGUGAUUUUGACCCUAACGCCAAAAACCUUAAACCUUACCCUAGCCCCAUAACCUAAUACCCGGGUAUUACCUUCAGAAAGCCCGAACACCCCAAGUAUUUUUUUUUUCAUUUUUCAUAUUUUUUUUUGGUCUAACUAACUCACAAAUGUUGGAAAAGAGUUCCUACAAAGGUUUUGGACAGUGAUUUUGACCCUAACGCCAAAAACCUUAAACCCUAGCCCCAAAACCUAUUACCUUCAGGAAGCCCGGAAACCCCAAAUAUUUUUUUUUCAUUUUUCCACUUUUUUUUUUUUGGUGUAACUAACUCCAAAUGUUGGAAAGGAGUUCCUACAAAGGUUUUGGACAGUGAUUUUGACCCUAACGCCAAAAACCUUAAACCUUCCCCUAGCCCCAAAACCUAUUACCUUCAGGAAGCCCGGAAACCCCAAAUAUUUUUUUUUCAUUUUUCCACUUUUUUUUUUUGGUGUAACUAACUCCAAAAGGUUGGAAAAGAGUUCCUACAAAGGUUUUGGACAGUGAUUUUAACCCCAACGCCAGAAAACCUUAAACCUACCCAAGCCCCAAACCUAAUUACCCGGGUAUUACCUUCAGGAAGCCCGAAAACCCCAAAUAUUUUUUUUCUUUUUCUUUUUUUUUGGUCUAACUAACUCCAAAAGGUUGGAAAAGAGUUCCUACAAAGGUUUUGGACAGUGAUUUUAACCCUAACGCCAAAAACCUUAAACCUUCCCCUAGCCCCAAAACCUAAUACCUUCAGGAAGCCAGAAAACCCCAAAUAUUUUUUUCUUUUUUCUUUUUUUUUGGUCUAACUAACUCCAAAAGGUUGGAAAAGAGUUCCUACAAAGGUUUUGGACAGUGAUUUUAACCCUAACGCCAAAAACCUUAAACCUUACCCUAGCCCCAAAACCUAAUACCCGGGUAUUACCUUCAGGAAGCCCGAAAACCCCAAAUAUAUUUUUUCUUUGUUCUUUUUUUUUUUGGUCUAACUAACUCCAAAAGGUUGGAAAAGAGUUCCUACAAAGGUUUUGGACAGUGAUUUUAACCCUAACGCCAAAAACCUUAAACCUUCCCCUAGCCCCAAAACCUAAUACCUUCAGGAAGCCCGAAAACCCCAAAUAUUUUUUUUCUUUUUUCUUUUUUUUUUUGGUGUAACUAACUCCAAAAGGUUGGAAAAGAGUUCCUACAAAGGUUUUGGACAGUGAUUUUAACCCUAACGCCAAAAACCUUAAACCUUACCCUAGCCCCAAAACCUAAUACCCGGGUAUUACCUUCAGGAAGCCCGAAAACCCCAAAUAUACUUUUUUCAUUUUAAAUUGUUUUUUGGUGUAACCAACUCCAAAAGGUCUGAAACAUGUUCCUCAAAAGGUUUUGGACAGUGAUUUUAACCCUAACGCCAAAAACCUUAAACCUUACCCUAGCCCCAUAACCAAAUACCCGGUUAUUACCUUCAGGAAGCCCGAACACAACAUAUAUAUUUUUUUUCUUUUUUUUUUUUUUGGUCUAACUAACUCCAAAAGGUUGGAAAAGAGUUCCUACAAAGGUUUUGGACAGUGAUUUUAACCCUAACGCCAAAAACCUUAAACCUUACCCUAGCCCCAAAACCUAAUACCCGGGUAUUACCUUCAGGAAGCCCGAAAACCCCAAAUAUUUUUUUUUCAUUUUUCAUUUUUUUUUUUUUGGUCUAACUAACUCCAAAAGGUUGGAAAAGAGUUCCUACAAAGGUUUUGGACAGUGAUUUUAACCCUAACGCCAAAAACCUUAAACCUUACCCUAGCCCCAAAACCUAAUACCUUCAGGAAGCCCGAAAAACCCCAAAUAUUUUUUUUUCAUUUUUCUUUUUUUUUUGGUCUAACUAACUCCAAAAGGUUGGAAAAGAGUUCCUACAAAGGUUUUGGACAGUGAUUUUAACCCCAACGCCAAAAACCUUAAACCUACCCUAGCCCCAUAACCUAAUACCCGGGUAAUACCUUCAGGAAGCCCGAAAACCCCAAAUAUUUUUUUUCUUUUUUCUUUUUUUUUUUUUGGUCUAACUAACUCCAAAAGGUUGGAAAAGAGUUCCUACAAAGGUUUUGGACAGUGAUUUUAACCCUAACGCCAAAAACCUUAAACCUUCCCCUAGCCCCAAAACCUAAUACCUUCAGGAAGCCCGAAAACCCCAAAUAUUUUUUUUUCAUUUUUCAUUAUUAUUUUUUGGUGUAACUAAAUCCAAAAGGUUGGAAAAGAGUUCCUUCAAAGGUUUUGGACAGUGAUUUUAACCCCAACGCCAAAAACCUUAAACCUUACCAUAGCCCCAUAACCUAAUAUGGGUAUUACCUUCAGGAAGCCCAAAUACCCCAAAUAUUUCUUUUUCAUUUUUCAUUUUUUUUUUUGGUGUAACUAACUCCAAAAGGUUGGAAAAGAGUUCCUACAAAGGUUUUGGACAGUGAUUUUGACCCCAACGCCAAAAACCUUAAACCUUACCCUAUUCCCAAAACCUAAUACCUUCCGGAAGCCCGAAAACCCCAAAUAUUUUUUUUCUUUUUUUUUUUUUUUUGGGUCUAACUAACUCCAAAAGGUUGGAAAAGAGUUCCUACAAAUGUUUUGGACAGUGAUUUUGACCCUAACGCCAAAAACAUUAAACCUUACCCUAGCCCCAAAACCUAAUACCCGGGUAUUACCUUCAGGAAGCCCGAAUACCCCAAAUAUUUUUUUUUUUUAUUUUUCGUUAUUUUUUGGUCUAACUAACUCCAAAAGGUCUGAAACAUGUUCCUAAAAAGGUUUUGGACAGUGAUUUUAACCCUAACGCCAAAAACCUUAAACCUUUCCCUAGCCCCAUAACCUAAUACCCUGGUAUUACCUUCAGGAAGCCCGAAAACCCCAAAUAUUUUUUUUCUUUAUUUUUUUGGUCUAACUUACUCCAAAAGGUUGCAAAAGAGUUCCUACAAAGGUUUUGGACAGUGAUUUUAACCCUAACGGCAAAAACCUUAAACCUUACCCUAGCCCCAAAACCUAAUACGGGUAUUACCUUCAGGAAGCCCGAAAACCCCAAAUAUUUUUUUUGCAUUUUUCAUUAUUAUUUGGUCUAACUAACUCCAAAAUGUUGGGAAAGAGUUCCUACAAAGGUUUUGGACAGUGAUUUUAACCCUAACGCCAAAAACCUUAAACCUUACCCUAGCCCCAAAACCUAAUACCUUCAGGAAGCCCGAAAACCCCAAAUAUUUUUUUUUCAUUUUUCAUUUUUUAUUAGUCUAACUAACUCCAAAAGAUUGGAAAAGAGUUCCUACAAAGGUUUUGGACAGUGAUUUUAACCCUAACGCCAAAAACCUUAAACCUUACCCUAGCCCCAAAACCUAAUACCCGGGUAUUACCUUCAGGAAGCCCGAAAACCCCAAAUAUUUUUUUUUCAUUUUUCUUUUUUUUGGUCUAACCAACUCCAAAAGGUUGAAAAGAGUUCCUACAAAGGUUUUGGACAGUGAUUUUAACCCUAACGCCAAAAACCUUAAACCUUUCCCUAGCCCCGUAACCUAAUACGGGUAUUACCUUCAGGAAGCCCGAAAACCCCAAAUAUUUUUUUUUCAUUUUUCUUUUUUUUUUUUGGUCUAACUAACUCCAAAAGGUUGGAAAAGAGUUCCUACAAAGGUUUUGGACAGUGAUUUUAACCCUAACGGCAAAAACCUUAAACCUUCCCCUAGCCCCAAAACCUAAUACGCGGGUAUUACCUUCAGGAAGCCCGAAUACCCCAAAUUCUUUUUUUUCAUUUCUCUUUUUUUUUUUUGGUGUAACUAACUCCAAAAGGUUGGAAAAGAGUUCCUACAAAGGUUUUGGACAGUGAUUUUAACCCUAACGCCAAAAACCUUAAACCUUUCCCUAGCCCCAAAACCGAAUACCUUCAGGAAGCCCGAAAACCCCAAAUAUUUCUUUUUUUUUUUUUUUUUUUUUUUUUGGUAUAACUAACUCCAAAAGGUUGGAAAAGAGUUCCUACAAAGGUUUUGGACAGUGAUUUUGAUCCUAACGCCAAAAACCUUAAACCUUACCCUAGCCCCAAAACCUAAUACCUUCAGGAAGCCCGAAAACCCCAAAUAUUUUUUUUUCAUGUUUUUUUUUUUUUUUGGUGUAACUAACUCCAAAAGGUUGGAAAAGAGUUCCUACAAAGGUUUUGGACAGUGAUUUUGACCCUAACGCCAAAAUUUUAAACCUUACCCUAGCCCCAAAACCUAAUACCCGGGUAUUACCUUCAGGAAGCCCGAAAACCCCAAAUAUUUUUUUUUUCAUUUUUCGUUAUUUUUUGGUCUAACUAACUCCAAAAGGUCUGAAACAUGUUCCAAAAAAGGUUUUGGACAGUGAUUUUAACCCUAACGGCAAAAACCUUAAACCUUACCCUAGCCCCAAAACCUAAUACGCGGGUAUUACCUUCAGGAAGCCCGAAAACCCCAAAUAUUUUUUUUUUCAUUUUUCUUUUUUUUUUUUUGGUGUAACUAACUCCAAAAGGUUGGAAAAGAGUUCCUACAAAGGUUUUGGACAGUGAUUUUGACCCUAACGCCAAAAACGUUAAACCUUACCCUAGCCCCAAAACCUAAUACCUGGGUAUUACCUUCAGGAAGCCCGAACACUCCAAAUAUUUUUUUUUCAUUUUUCGUUAUUUUUUGGUCUAACUAACUCCAAAAGGUUGGAAAAGAGUUCCUAAAAAGGUUUUGGACAGUGAUUUUAACCCUAACGCCAAAAACCUUAAACCUUACCCUAGCCCCAAAACCUAAUACCCGGGUAUUACCUUCAGGAAGCCCGAAAACCCCAAAUAUUUUUUUUUCAUUUUUCAUUAUUAUUUGGUCUAACUAACUCCAAAAGGUUGGAAAAGAGUUCCUACAAAAAGGUUUUGGACAGUGAUUUUAACCCUAACGCCAAAAACAUUAAACCUUACCCUAGCCCCAAAACCUAAUACGCGGGUAUUCCCUUCAUGAAGCCCGAAAACCCCAAAUAUUUUUUUUUUCUUUUUUCUUUUUUUUUUUUUGGUGUAACUAACUCCAAAAGGUUGGAAAAGAGUUCCUAAAAAGGUUUUGGACAGUGAUUUUGACCCUAACGCCAAAAACCUUAAACCUUACCCUAGCCCCAAAACCUAAUACCCGGGUAUUACCUUCAGGAAGCCCGAACACCCCAAAUAUUUUUUUUUUCAUUUUUCGUUAUUUUUUGGUCUAACUAACUCCAAAAGGUCUGAAACAUGUUCCAAAAAAGGUUUUGGACAGUGAUUUUAACCCUAACACCAAAAACCUUAAACCUUACCCUAGCCCCAUAACCUAAUACCCGGGUAUUACCUUCAGGAAGCCCGAAAACCCCAAAUAUUUUUUUUUCAUUUUUCAUUAUUAUUUGGUCUAACUAACUCCAAAAUGUUGGAAAAGAGUUCCUACAAAGGUUUUGGACAGUGAUUUUAACCCUAACACCAAAAACCUUAAACCUUACCCUAGCCCCAUAACCUAAUACCCGGGUAUUACCUUCAGGAACCCCGAACACCCCAAAUAUUUUUUUUUUCAUUUUUCGUUAUUUUUUGGCCUAACUAACUCCAAAAGGUCUGAAACAUGUUCCAAAAAAGGUUUUGGACAGUGAUUUUAACCCUAACGCCAAAAACAUUAAACCUUACCCUAGCCCCAAAACCUAAUACGCGGGUAUUCCCUUCAUGAAGCCCGAAAACCCCAAAUAUUUUUUUUUUCUUUUUUUUUUUUUUUGGUCUAACUAACUCCAAAAGGUUGGAAAAGAGUUCCUACAAAGGUUUUGGACAGUGAUUUUAACCCUAACGCCAAAAACCUUAAACCUUCCCCUAGCCCCAAAACCUAAUACGCGGGUAUUACCUUCAGGAAGCCCGAAAACCCCAAAUUUUUUUUUUCAUUUUUUUUUUUUUUGGUGUAACUAACUCCAAAAGGUUGGAAAAGAGUUCCUACAAAGGUUUUGGACAGUGAUUUUAACCCUAACGCCAAAAACCUUAAACCUUUCCCUAGCCCCAAAACCGAAUACCUUCAGGAAGCCCGGAAAUCCCAAAUAUUUUUUUCUUUUUUUUUUUUUUUUUUUUGGUAUAACUAACUCCAAAAGGUUGGAAAAGAGUUCCUACAAAGGUUUUGGACAGUGAUUUUAACCCCAACGCCAAAAACCUUAAACCUUACCCUAGCCCCAAAACCUAAUACCUUCAGGAAGCCCGAAAACCCCAAAUAUUUUUUUUCAUUUUUUUUUUUUUUUUGGUGUAACUAACUCCAAAAGGUUGGAAAAGAGUUCCUACAAAGGUUUUGGACAGUGAUUUUAACCCUAACGCCAAAAACCUUAAACCUUACCCUAGCCCCAAAACCUAUACCCGGGUAUUACCUUCAGGAAGCCCGAACACCCCAAAUAUUUUUUUUUCAUUUUUUUUCGUUAUUUUUUGGCCUAACUAACUCCAAAAGGUUGGAAAAGAGUUCCUACAAAGGUUUUGGACAGUGAUUUUAACCCUAACGCCAAAAACAUUAAACCUUACCCUAGCCCCAAAACCUAAUACGCGGGUAUUCCCUUCAUGAAGCCCGAAAACCCCAAAUAUUUUUUUCUUUUUUCUUUUUUUUUUUGGUCUAACUAACUCCAAAAUGUUGGAAAAGAGUUCCUACAAAAGGUUUUGGACAGUGAUUUUAACCCUAACGCCAAAAACCUUAAACCUUACCCAGCCCCAAAACCUAAUACCCGGGUAUUACCUUCAGGAAGCCCGAACACCCCAAAUAUUUUUUUUUUUUCAUUUUUCGUUAUUUUUUGGUCUAACUAACUCCAAAAUGUUGGAAAAGAGUUCCUACAAAGGUUUUGGACAGUGAUUUUAACCCCAACGCCAAAAACCUUAAACCUUACCCUAGCCCCAUAACCUAAUACCCGGGUAUUACCUUCAGGAAGCCCGAAAACCCCAAAUAUUUUUUUUUUCAUUUUUCAUUAUUAUUUGGUCUAACUAACUCCAAAAGGUUGGAAAAGAGUUCCUACAAAGGUUUUGGACAGUGAUUUUAACCCUAACGCCAAAAACCUUAAACCUUCCCCUAGCCCCAAAACCUAAUACCUUCAGGAAGCCCGAAAACCCCAAAUAUUUUUUUUUCAUUUUUCUUUUUUUUUUUUUGGUGUAACUAACUCCAAAAGGUUGGAAAAGAGUUCCUAAAAAGGUUUUGGACAGUGAUUUUAACCCUAACGCCAAAAACCUUAAACCUUUCCCUAGCCCCAUAACCUAAUACCCGGGUAUUACCUUCAGGAAGCCCGAACACCCCAAAUAUUUUUUUUUCAUUUUUCUUUUUUUUUUGGUCUAACUAACUCCAAAAGGUUGGAAAAGAGUUCCUACAAGGUUUUGGACAGUGAUUUUAACCCUAACGCCAAAAACCUUAAACCUUACCCUAGCCCCAAAACCUAAUACCCGGGUAUUACCUUCAGGAAGCCCGAAAACCCCAAAUAUUUUUUUUUCAAAUUUCCUUUAUUUUUUUGUCUAACUUACUCCAAAAGGUUGGAAAAGAGUUCCUACAAAGGUUUUGGACAGUGAUUUUAACCCUAACGCCAAAAACUUAAACCUUACCCUAGCCCCAAAACCAAAUACCCGGGUAUUACCUUCAGGAAGCCCGAAAACCCCAAAUAUUUUUUUUUCAAAUUUCCUUUAUUUUUUGGUCUAACUGACUCCAAAAGGUUGGAAAAGAGUUCCUACAAAGGUUUUGGACAGUGAUUUUGACCCUAACGCCAAAAACCUUAAACCUUACCCUAGCCCCAAAACCUAAUACCCGGGUAUUACCUUCAGGAAGCCCGAAAACCCCAAAUAUUUUUUUCUUCAUUUUUCAUUUUUUAUUGGUCUAACUAACUCCAAAAGGUUGAAAAGAGUUCCUACAAAGGUUUUGGACAGUGAUUUUAACCCUAACGCCAAAAACGUUAAACCUUACCCUAGCCCGAAAACCAAAUACCCGGGUAUUACCUUCAGGAAGCCCGAAAACCCCAAAUAUUUUUUUUUCAUUUUUCUUUUUUUUUUGGUCUAACCAUCUCCAAAAGGUUGGAAAAGAGUUCCUACAAAGGUUUUGGACAGUGAUUUUAACCCUAACAGCAAAAACCUUAAACCUUCCCCUAGCCCCAAAACCUAAUACGCGGGUAUUACCUUCAGGAAGCCCGAAUACCCCAAAUAUUUUUUUUUCAUUCCUCAUUUUUUUUUUGGUGUAACUAACUCCAAAAGGUUGGAAAAGAGUUCCUACAAAGGUUUUGGACAGUGAUUUUAACCCUAACGCCAAAAACCUUAAACCUUUCCCUAGCCCCAAAACCGAAUACCUUCAGGAAGCCCGAAAACCCCAAAUAUUUCUUUUCUUUUUUCUUUUUUUUUUUUUUUUGUAUAACUAACUCCAAAAGGUUGGAAAAGAGUUCCUACAAAGGUUUUGGACAGUGAUUUUGAUCCGAACGCCAAAAACCUUAAACCUUACCCUAGCCCCAAAACCUAAUACCUUCAGGAAGCCCGGAAAUCCCCAAAUAUUUUAUUUUCAUGUUUUUUUUUUUUUUUUUUUGGUGUAACUAACUCCAAAAGGUUGGAAAAGAGUUCCUGCAAAGGAUUUGGACAGUGAUUUUGACCCUAACGCCAAAAUUGUUAAACCUUACCCUAGCCCCAAAACCUUAUACCCGGGUAUUACCUUCAGGAAGCCCGAACACUCCAAAUAUUUUUUUUUUCAUUUUUCGUUAUUUUUUGGCCUAACUAACUCCAAAAGGUCUGAAACAUGUUCCAAAAAAGGUUUUGGACAGUGAUUUUAACCCUAACGCCAAAAACAUUAAACCUUACCCUAGCCCCAAAACCUAAUACGCGGGUAUUCCCUUCAUGAAGCCCGAAAACCCCAAAUAUUUUUUUUUUCUUUUUUCUUUUUUUUUUUUUGGUGUAACUAACUCCAAAAGGUUGGAAAAGAGUUCCUAAAAAGGUUUUGGACAGUGAUUUCGACCCUAACGCCAAAAACGUUAAACCUUACCCUAGCCCGAAAACCUAAUACCCGGGUAUUACCUUCAGGAACCCCGAACACCCCAAAUAUUUUUUUUUUCAUUUUUCGUUAUUUUUUGGUCUAACUAACUCCAAAAGGUCUGAAACAUGUUCCAAAAAAGGUUUUGGACAGUGAUUUUAACCCUAACACCAAAAACCUUAAACCUUACCCUAGCCCCAUAACCUAAUACCCGGGUAUUACCUUCGGGAAGCCCGAAAACCCCAAAUAUUUUUUUUUUCAUUUUUCAUUAUUAUUUGGUCUAACUAACUCCAAAAGGUUGGAAAAGAGUUCCUACAAAGGUUUUGGACAGUGAUUUUAACCCUAACGCCAAAAACAUUAAACCUUACCCUAGCCCCAAAACCUAAUACCUUCAGGAAGCCCGAAAACCCCAAAUAUUUUUUUUCAUUUUUCAUUUUUUUUUUUUGGUGUAACUAACUCCAAAAGGUUGGAAAAGAGUUCCUAAAAAGGUUUUGGACAGUGAUUUCGACCCUAACGCCAAAAACCUUAAACCUUUCCAAAGCCCCAUAACCUAAUACCUGGGUAUUACCUUCAGGAAGCCCGAACACCCCAAAUAUUUUUUUUUCAUUUUUCUUUUUUUUUUUGGUCUUACUAACUCCAAAAGGUUGGAAAAGGGUUCCUACAGAGGAUUUGGACAGUGAUUUUGACCCUAACGCCAAAAACCUUAAACCUUACCCUAGCCCCAAAACCAAAUACCCGGGUAUUACCUUCAGGAGGCCCGAAAACCCCAAAUAUUUUUUUUUCAAAUUUCCUUUAUUUUUUGGUCUAACUGACUCCAAAAGGUUGGAAAAGAGUUCCUACAGAGGAUUUGGACAGUGAUUUUGACCCUAACGCCAAAAACCUUAAACCUUACCCUAGCCCCAAAACCAAAUACCCGGGUAUUACCUUCAGGAGGCCCGAAAACCUCAAAUAUUUUUUUUUCAAAUUUCCUUUAUUUUUUGGUCUAACUGACUCCAAAAGAUUGGAAAAGAGUUCCUACAGAGGAUUUUGGACAGUGAUUUUGACCCUAACGCCAAAAACCUUAAACCUUACCCUAGCCCCAAAACCUAAUACCCGGGUAUUACCUUCAGGAAGCCCGAGUACCCCAAAAAAUUCUAUGUUUUAAUUUUUCGUUAUUUUUUGGUCUAACUAACUCCAAAAGGUCUGAAACAUGUUCCUAAAAAGGUUUUGGACAGUGAUUUUAGCCCUCACGCCAUAAACCUUAAAUCUUACCAUAGUCCCAUAACCUAAUACCCGGGUAUUACCUUCAGGAAGCCUGAAUACCCCAAAUAUUUUUUUUUCAUUUUUCUUUUUUUUUUUUUGGUGUAACUAACUCCAAAAGGUUGAAAAGAGUUCCUAAAAAGGUUUUGGACAGUGAUUUUGACCCUAACGCCAAAAACAUUAAACCUUACCCUAGCCCCAAAACUUAUACCCGGAAAUUACCUUGAGGAAGCCUGAACACCCCAAAUAUUUUUUUUUUUCAUUUUUCGUUAUUUUUUGGUCUAACUAACUCCUAAAGGUUGGAAAAGAGUUCCGACAGAGGUUUUGGACAGUGAUUUUAACCCCAACGCCAAAAACCUUAAAUCUUACCAUAGCCCCAUAACCUAAUACGGGUAUUACCUUCAGGAAUCCCGAAUACCUCAAUUAUUUUUUUUCAUUUUUCUUUUUUUUUUUUUUGGUGUACCUAACUCCAAAAGGUUGGAAAAGAGUUCCUACAAAGGUUUUCGACAGUGAUUUUGACCCUAACGCCAAAAACGUUAAACCUUACCCUAUUCCCAAAACCUAAUACCUUCAGGAAGCCCGAAAACCCCAAAUAUUUUUUUUCUUUUUUCUUUUUUUUUGGGUCUAACUAACUCCAAAAGGUUGGAAAAGAGUUCCUACAAAUGUUUUGGACAGUGAUUUUGACCCUAACGCCAAAAACGUUAAACCUUACCCUAGCCCCAAAACCUAAUACCCGGGUAUUACCUUCAGGAAGCCCGAACACUCCAAAUAUUUUUUUUUUCAUUUUUCGUUAUUUUUUGGUCUAACCAACUCCAAAAGGUCUGAAACAUGUUCCAAAAAAGGUUUUGGACAGUGAUUUUAACCCUAACGGCAUAAACCUUAAACCUUACCCUAGCCCCGUAACCUAAUACGGGUAUUACCUUCAGGAAGCCCGAAAACCCCAAAUAUUUUUUUUUCAUUUUUCUUUUUUUUUUGGUCUAACCAUCUCCAAAAGGUUGGAAAAGAGUUCCUACAAAGGUUUUGGACAGUGAUUUUAACCCUAACAGCAAAAACCUUAAACCUUCCCCUAGCCCCAAAACCUAAUACGCGGGUAUUACCUUCAGGAAGCCCGAAUACCCCAAAUAUUUUUUUUUCAUUCCUCUUUUUUUUUUUGGUGUAACUAACUCCAAAAGGUUGGAAAAGAGUUCCUACAAAGGUUUUGGACAGUGAUUUUAACCCUAACGCCAAAAACCUUAAACCUUUCCCUAGCCCCAAAACCGAAUACCUUCAGGAAGCCCGAAAACCCCAAAUAUUUCUUUUCUUUUUUCUUUUUUUUUUUUUCUGGUAUAACUAACUCCAAAAGGUUGGAAAAGAGUUCCUACAAAGGUUUUGGACAGUGAUUUUGAUCCUAACGCCAAAAACCUUAAACCUUACCCUAGCCCCAAAACCUAAUACCUUCAGGAAGCCCGGAAAUCCCCAAAUAUUUUAUUUUCAUGUUUUUUUUUUUUUUUUUUUUGGUGUAACUAACUCCAAAAGGUUGGAAAAGAGUUCCUGCAAAGGAUUUGGACAGUGAUUUUGACCCUAACGCCAAAAUUGUUAAACCUUACCCUAGCCCCAAAACCUUAUACCCGGGUAUUACCUUCAGGAAGCCCGAACACUCCAAAUAUUUUUUUUUUCAUUUUUCGUUAUUUUUUGGCCUAACUAACUCCAAAAGGUCUGAAACAUGUUCCAAAAAAGGUUUUGGACAGUGAUUUUAACCCUAACGCCAAAAACAUUAAACCUUACCCUAGCCCCAAAACCUAAUACGCGGGUAUUCCCUUCAUGAAGCCCGAAAACCCCAAAUAUUUUUUUUUUCUUUUUUCUUUUUUUUUUUUUGGUGUAACUAACUCCAAAAGGUUGGAAAAGAGUUCCUAAAAAGGUUUUGGACAGUGAUUUCGACCCUUACGCCAAAAACGUUAAACCUUACCCUAGCCCCAAAACCUAAUACCCGGGUAUUACCUUCAGGAAGCCUGAACACCCCAAAUAUUUUUUUUUUCAUUUUUCGUUAUUUUUUGGUCUAACUAACUCCAAAAGGUCUGAAACAUGUUCCAAAAAAGGUUUUGGACAGUGAUUUUAACCCUAACACCAAAAACCUUAAACCUUACCCUAGCCCCAUAACCUAAUACCCGGGUAUUACCUUCGGGAAGCCCGAAAACCCCAAAUAUAUUUUUUUCUUUUUUCUUUUUCUUUUGUUCUAACUAACUCCAAAAGGUUGGAAAAGAGUUCCUACAAAGGUUUUGGACAGUGAUUUUAACCCUAACGCCAAAAACCUUAAACCUUACUCUAGCCCCAAAACCUAAUACGGGGGUAUUACCUUCAGGAAGCCCUAACACCCCAAAUAUUUUUGUUUCAUUUUUCUUUUUUUUUUGGUCUAACUAACUCCAAAAGGUUGGAAAAGAGUUCCUACAAAGGUUUUGGACAGUGAUUUUAACCCUAACGCCAAAAACAUUAAACCUUACCCUAGCCCCAAAACCUAAUACCUUCAGGAAGCCCGAAAACCCCAAAUAUUUUUUUUCAUUUUUCUUUUUUUUUUUUUGGUGUAACUAACUCCAAAAGGUUGGAAAAGAGUUCCUAAAAAGGUUUUGGACAGUGAUUUCGACCCUAACGCCAAAAACCUUAAACCUUUCCAAAGCCCCAUAACCUAAUACCUGGGUAUUACCUUCAGGAAGCCCGAACACCCCAAAUAUUUUUUUUUCAUUUUUCUUUUUUUUUUGGUCUUACUAACUCCAAAAGGUUGGAAAAGGGUUCCUACAGAGGAUUUGGACAGUGAUUUUGACCCUAACGCCAAAAACCUUAAACCUUACCCUAGCCCCAAAACCAAAUACCCGGGUAUUACCUUCAGGAGGCCCGAAAACCGCAAAUAUUUUUUUUUCAAAUUUCCUUUAUUUUUUGGUCUAACUGACUCCAAAAGGUUUGAAAAGAGUUCCUACAGAGGAUUUGGACAGUGAUUUUGACCCUAACGCCAAAAACCUUAAACCUUACCCUAGCCCCAAAACCUAAUACCCGGGUAUUACCUUCAGGAAGCCCGAGUACCCCAAAAAAUUCUAUUUUUUCAUUUUUCGUUAUUUUUUGGUCUAACUAACUCCAAAAGGUCUGAAACAUGUUCCUAAAAAGGUUUUGGACAGUGAUUUUAGCCCUCACGCCAUAAACCUUAAAUCUUACCAUAGCCCCAUAACCUAAUACGGGUAUUCCCUUCAGGAAGCCCGAAUACCCCAAAUCUUUUUUUUUCAUUUUUCUUUUUUUUUUUUUGGUGUAACUAACUCCAAAAGGUUGGAAAAGAGUUCCUAAAAAGGUUUUGGACAGUGAUAUUUACCCUAACGCCAAAAACCUUAAACCGUACCCUAGCCCCAUAACCUAAUACCCGUAUAUUACCUUCAGGAAGCCCGAAAACCCCAAAUAUUCUUUUUUUCUUUUUUCAUUUUUUUUUGGUGUAACUAACUCCAAAAGGUUGGAAACGAGUUCCUACAAAGGUUUUGGACAGUGAUUUUAACCCUAACGCCAAAAACAUUAAACCUUACCCUAGCCCCAAAACCUAAUACGCGGGUAUUACCUUCAGGAAGCCCGAAAACCCCAAAUAUUUUUUUUUCUUUUUUCUUCUUUUUUUUUUGGUGUAACUAACUCCAAAAGGUUGGAAAAGAGUUCCUACAAAGGUUUUGGACAGUGAUUUUAACCCUAACGCCAAAAACCUUAAACCUUACCCUAGCCCCAAAACCUAAUACGGGGGUAUUACCUUCAGGAAGCCCGAGUACCCCCCAAAAUUCUUUUUUCAUUUUUCGUUUUUUUUUUUGGUCUAACUAACUCCAAAAGUUUGGAAAAGAGUUCCUACAAAGGUUUUGGACAGUGAUUUUAACCCUAACGCCAAAAACCUUAAACCUUACCCUAGCCCCAUAACCUAAUACCCGGGUAUUACCUUCGGGAAGCUCGAAAACCCCAAAUAUUUUUUUUUCAUUUUUCAUUAUUAUUUGGUCUAACUAACUCCAAAAGGUUGGAAAAGAGUUCCUACAAAGGUUUUGGACACUGAUUUUAACCCUUACGCUAAAAACCUUAAACCUUACCCCAGCCCCGUAACCUAAUACCCAGGUAUUACCUCAAGGAAUUCUUAACACCCCAAAAAAAUUUUAUUUCAUUUUUUUUUUUUUUUUUUGGUCUAACUAACUCCAAAAGAAGAAAAGAGGAAAAGAGUUUCUUCAAAGGUUUUGGACAGUGAUUUUCACCCUAACACCAAAAACCUUUAACCUUUACCUAGCCCUUAAACCUAAUACCCGGGUAUUACCUAAAGGAAGCCCUACCAUCCCCCCAAUUUUUUUUUUUUUUCGUUUUUUUUUUGUCUAACUAACUCCAAAAGAUCUUAAACAUGUUCCUUUAAAAAUAUUGCACAGUGAUUUUAACCCUAACGCUAAAAACCUUAAGCCUAACCCUAGCCCCGAAACUAAUACCCGGAUAUUACCUUAAGGAAGCCUUCACACCCCAAAAUUUUUUUUUCAUUUUUCGUUUUUUUUUUUGGUCUCACUAACUCCAAAAGGUUGGAAAAGAGUUCCUACAAAGGUUUUGGACAGUGAUUUUAACCCAUACGCCAAAAACCUUAAACUUUACCCUAGCCCCGUAACCUAAUUCCUGGGUAUUACCUUCAGGAAGCCUUAACACCCCCAAAAACUUUUUUUUCAUUUUUCUUUUUUUUUUUUUUAGUCUGGCUCCCUCCAAAAGGUUGGAAAAGAGUUCCUACAAAGGUUUUGGACAGUGAUUUUAACCCUAAUGCAAAAAACCUCUAACCUUUUCCUAGCCCUGUAACAUAAUAUAUACAUAAUAUUGCUCUACAAACACAUAGUCUAAAAGAUAGACAGCAUAGCAUACCAACUGAGCUGAGUCAUUAAACUUUCUACCAACACAUAAUUUUUACACACAGAUUGAGCUCGGAGACUCGACUGGAACAUGUGACAGGUCGACAUGCGCUGGCCAGUGCAAGCCCUUGAUCAGCCUACCCCAAACCGCCAAGUCAACUGACGAAAGCGGGGGCUAUCACUCUAUCUCUUUCCCACACCUAACCAGCCACUUGCCUUUGGACAGACUUGUCACAAUAUCAUUCCGAGAAUAGUCUGAGCCCAUGCUCCUUCUGUGCACACAACCCCCCCCCCCCCGUUUAUAGAAUCUAAGAUCUUCCAGUUUCAAGGGUGAGAGUGAAUUCCAAAGAAUCCUCCACCUUGGAACCUAUACUAACACUACAUAACUCCUGACCCCACCCUGCCUACCUCCUUUUCUCCCUCUCUCAUGAUCUGUACCUCUCUCUCCUAUCAGAGGAUGAAAACCAGCAGGUGAGGAGAGUCUCAAUGGCGAGUCACAGUGGCAAGAUCUAUUCUCUUUCUAUCACUCGAAUCCCUGCAUGAGCAGAAUGGUGCCAGAUGGACCACCUGCUCCCACCACAAUCCUCUGUGACUUUUUGACUCUAUCCACUUUUAGAACUUAAAAUAGUAAUCAAUAAUCAACUGACCAACUCAGCUCAAACCAAACCCAAAACUCUGCCUAGAGAACUCUCACUUCCACGUUUACAUAUCUCUUUGUAUCUUGUGAGGACCGUGAGGAGAGCAGAGCCUAGACCUAGUCGGGUUGGGGGACUAUGUCCCUUGCUCACUCUCCUCACAUGGAUGGUGAGAGCUGGGGAGCUAUGGGAUGUUUCAUCCGCCACCAAAUCCCCCUCACAAAUCUUUAUUUUCCACCAUCUCCACCUCUCCCUUAAACCCCCCUCUCCCUCUUCCCUUCUCUCUCUCUCUCUCUCUCUCUCACACACACACACACCCCUCUCUCUCUCUCUCUCUCUCUCUCUCUCCCUCAUCUCUCCCCCUCUCUCUAACACACCCCCUCUUUCUUAUUCCCUCCCCUGCCCCUUUAUUUUCACCUUCACAGAGGACAAAUAGGCGAUCUUCAGCCUCGGCCUACCCCGGCCGGGGGGUAACCCCUGUUGGGUCACCUAUAUGGAGGAUUAAGAGAGACCUGAAGGGGAACCGCCGUGCCCCCUAAAUCCUCCCCCUCUAACAUCUUUUUUAACACUCUAAAAUUAGCCAGCUAACCCCACUACAAACAACUUCAUCAAAAAUUUAAAUAAUAAGUUUAUUAAAAACUGACCAUCAGUGACACCAGACUAAGCUAGCAAAAAAGAACACACAUACACGUGCAGAUUUUCCCUUAGGACAUUGAUCAAAUUUACAUUUCUGUCUGUCUUUUAGGGAACCAAACUCUGUUUUUCAGCUCACUUCUGAUUUUUGCUAUUUGUUCUUGACACUUCUUUUUUUCCUUUUUUCUUCUCCUUUCCCUUUUGCAAUCCACUUUUGUUCUUCUUUUAUUUUUUUAUUUUUUCAUUGUUUUAUUUUAUUUUAUUUUAUUUUAGGGUUCCUGUGCUUUUGUUUGUCUUCCCCCCUCCCCUCUUUUUUCUUAGGAAGGACUGACUCCUGAGGUUCUCAUGCCAGGAAAAAUGUACCUCCCACACUCACGGUUUUACCCACAAUCCUUUGCUGGAACAGGGAGAUUGAUUCCCAAGGCUCUCAUGCCAGAAAGGAAGUACCUCACUCACUCACGGUUUUACCCACAAUCCUUUGCUGUAACAGGAAGAUUGAUUCCUUAGGCUCUCAUCCCUCAGAACUAAAAUACCCACAAUCCCUUGCGAUUGCAUACAAAUUUAAUGUAGCAAAACUCAAUUUAAAACAAAUAAACCACUUUAAAAUUAACUUAAAACAACUUGAAAGUUUAAAAUACAACCAAGAGACAUCUAUUCUGGAAUACAAACAUCGAGAAGAGAACACAACCAUGUCUAAGAGGAACAGCACAAACCAUGACUCGAGCCCAACUCUGGCGAUGUCUUCUCCUGUCAAAAGCACAUUUAAGUGCUGUGAACUAAAGCGCAAUUCCUGUUCCUGUAAUUGAGACAACGCACUGACCACUGGACCAAGAAGACGGGCCACCGCCUCGAGGAAGACGCCGCGCCGCCACCUGAAAGAAGACGCCGCACCUCCAUCACUCCAAGCCGCCAACCACCGAGCUUCGACCCGCCGACGGCACCGAGUCCCAGCAAACCUUGCCGCGAAUCUUCUUUCCCCCGCCGAGGACCACGGACUUCAGACACACCGCUGCCACCGCGGCUGGACAGCUGGAACCUUUUCCCCCCUCCAACAGAUUUUAGACUACAGGAAAAGAAACGCCUCACAUCAACAACAACAUAGGACCACUAGGGUAAGUCUACAAAAAACCUCUCAAACACCUCAAAAUUACUCUAAAUAGUUAGUUUUUUUUGUUGAACUUGAGUUUGUGUCGUUUUUGAACUUGAGUUUGUGGUGUUUUUGAACUUGAGUUUGUGUCGUGUUUGAAGUUUGUGGCAACUUAUGAACUUGAGUUUGUUUGGCUUGAUUUUCUGGCAAUUGUUGAACUUGAGUGUGGUUUUUAGUGAACUUUAGUUGGUGGCAAUUGUUGAACUUGAGUUUGUGGCGUUAGUUGAACUUGAGUUUGUGGUGUUUGUUGAACUUGAGUUUGUGAAGUGUUUGAACUUGAGUUUGUGUUUUUUUUAACUUGAGGUUGUGGCAAUUGUUAAACUUGAGAAUCGGGUGUUGGUUGAACUUGAGUUUGUGGUGUUCAUUGAACUUGAGUUUGUGGAAUAUUUGAACUUGAGUUUAUUAUGUUUUUUUAACUUGAGGUUCUGGUGUUUUUGAACUUGAGUUUGUGGCGUUUGUUGAACUUGAGAUCGUGGCGUUUUGAACUUGAGUUUGUGCUGUUUUUUGAAUUGAGGUUGUGGCGUGUUUGAACUUGAGUUUGUGUGUUUUUUGAACUUGAGGUUGUGGAAAUUGUUAAACUUGAGAAUCGGGUGUUGUUUGAACUUGAGUUUGUGGUUUUUUUUUAACUUGAGUUUGUGUCAUGUUUGAACUUGAGUUUGUGGUGUUUUUGAACUUGAGUUUGUGUUGUUUUUGAACUUAAGGUUGUGGAAAUUGUUAAACUUGAGAAUUGGGUAUUGGUUGAACUUGAAUUUGUGUGUUAUUUGAAUUUGAGUUUGUGGUGUUUUUGAACUUGAGUUUGUGUUGUUUUUGAACUUGAGGUUGUGGCAAUUGUUAAACUUGAGAUUUGGGUGUUGGUUUAACUUGAGUUUGUGUCGUUUGAACUUGAGUUUGUGGUGUUUUUGAUUUGUGUGUUUUUUUAUCUUAAGUUUGUGGCAAUUUAUGAACUUGAGUUUGUUGAACUUGAGUUUGUGGUCUUUGUUCAACUUGAGUUUGUGGUUUUUAGUGAACUCUAGUUGGUGGCAUCUUUGAACUUGAGUUUGUGGCAUUUGUUGAACUUGAGGUUUGGGUGUUGGUUGAUCUUGAGUUUGUGUCUUGUUUGAACUUUUGUUUUUGGAUUUUUUGAACUAGAGUUUGUGUGUUUUUUGAUCUUGAGUAUGUGUGUUUGUUGAACUUGAGUUUGUGGUGUUUUUUGAACUUGAGGUUGUGGUGUUUUUGAACUUGAGUUUGUGGCAAUUGUUAAACUUGAGGUUUGGGUGUUGGUUGAUCUUGAGUUUGUGUCUUGUUUGAACUUUUGUUUUUGGAUUUUUUGAACUAGAGUUUGUGUGUUUUUUGAACUUGAGUAUGUGUGUUUGUUGAACUUGAGUUUGUGGUGUUUUUUGAACUUGAGGUUGUGGUGUUUUUGAACUUGAGUUUGUGUUUUUCUUGAACUUGAGUUUUUGGCAUGUUCGAAUUUGAGGUUGUUGCAAUUCUUAAACUUGAGAUUUGGGUGUUGGUUGAACUUGAAACUGUGACAUUUGUUGAACUUGAGUUUGUGGCAAUUGUUGAACUUGAGUCUGUAUUUUUCUCUGAACUUUAGUUGGUGGCAAUUGUUGAACUUGAGUUUGUGGUGUUUUCUGCACUUGAGUUUGUGUCGUGUUUGAACUUGAGUUUGUGUUGUAUUUGAACUUGAGGUUGUGGAAAUUGUUAAACGUGAGUAUUGGGUAUUGGUUAAACUUGAGUUUGUGUGUUUGUUGAACCUGAGUUUGUGUCUUGUUUGAACUUGAGAUUGUGCUGUUUUGUGAUCUUGAAUUUGUGUGGGUUUUUUUGAACUUGAGUUUUUGGUGUUUUUGAAUUUGAGUUUCUGUUGUUUUUUAACAUGAGGUUGUGGCAAUUGUUAAGCUUGAGAUUUGGGUGUUGGUUGAAAUUAAGUUUCGGCAUUUUUGAACUUGAGUUUGUGGUGUUUUUGAACUUGAAUUUGUGUGUUUUUUUUAACCUGAGUUUGUUGCAAUUUUUGAACUUGAGUUUGUUGAACUUGAGUUUUUGGCAAUUGUUUAAUGUGAGUAUAGGUCAUUUGUUGAAUUUGAAAUUUUGGCAUUUUUUGAACUUAAGCUUGUGGUGUUUGAUGAGCUUGAGUUUGUGGCAAUUGUUAACCUUGAGUCUGUAUUUUUCUCUGAACUUUAGUUGGUGGCAAUUGUUGAACUUGAGUUUGUGGCGUUUGUUGUACUUGAGUUUGUGGCGUGUUUGAACUUGAGUUUCUGUUGGUUUUGAUCUUGAGGUUGUGGAAAUUGUUAAACUUGAGAUUUGGGAUUUGGUUGAACUUGAGUUUGUGAAUCUUGUUUGAACUUGAGUUUGUGGUGUUUUUGAUCUUGAGCUUUUGUGUUUUUUGAACUGAAGUUUGUGGCAAUUGUUAAACUUGUUACUUGGGUGUUGGUUGAACUUGAGUUUGUGGUGUUUUUGAACUUGAGUUUGUGAAGUGUUUGAACUAGAUUUUCUGGUUAUUUUUGAACUUGAGUGUGUGUUUUUCUAACUUGAGUUUGUAGUGUGUCUGAACUUGAGUUUUUGUUUUUUUUUAACUUUAGGUUGUGGAAAUUGUUAAACUUGCGAAGUGGGCAUUGGUUGAACUUGAGUUUGUGUGUUUGUUGAACUUGAGUUUUUGUCGUUUAGAACUUGAGUUUGUGGUGUUUUUGAACUUGAGUUUUUGGUGUUUGUCGAACUUAAGUUUUUGUCGUUUAGAACUUGAGUUUGUGGUGUUUUUGAACUUGAGGUUUUGGCAAAUGUUAAACUUGAUAUUUGGGUGUUGUUUGAACUUGAGUUUGUGUCAUGUUUGAACUUGAGGUUUUGGCAAAUGUUAAACUUGAUAUUUGGGUGUUGUUUGAACUUGAGUUUGUGUCGUGUUUGAACUUGAGUUUUUGUCGUGUUUGAACUUGAGUUUGUGUCGUGUUUGAACUUGAGGUUGUGGAAAUUGUUAAACGUGAGAAUUGGGUAUUGGUUAAACUUGAGUUUGUGUGUUUGUUGAACUUGAGUUUGUGUCGUGUUUGAACUUGAGAUUGUGCUGUUUUGUGAUCUUGAAUUUGUGUGUUUUUUUUAACUUGAGUUUUUGGUGUUUUUGAAUUUGAGUUUCUGUUGUUUUGAACAUGAGGUUGUGGCAAUUGUUAAACUUGAGAUUUGGGUGUUGGUUGAAAUUAAGUUUCGGCAUUUUUGAACUUGAGUUUGUGGUGUUUUUGAACUUGAAUUUGUGUGCUUUUUAAACCUGAGUUUGUUGCAAUUUUUGAACUUGAGUUUUUGGCAAUUGUUUAAUGUUAAUAUAGGUCAUUUAUUGAAUUUGAAAUUUUGGCAUUUUUUGAACUUAAGCUUGUGGUGUUUGUUGAACUUGAGUUUAUGGCAAUUGUUAACCUUGAGUCUGCAUUUUUCUCUGAACAUUAGUUGGUGGCAAUUGUUGAACUUGAGUUCGUGUGUUUGUUGAACUUGAGUUUUUGUCGUUUAGAACUUGAGUUUGUGGUGUUUUUGAACUUGAGGUUUUGGCAAAUGUUAAACUUGAUAUUUGGGUGUUGUUUGAACUUGAGUUUGUGUCAUGUUUGAACUUGAGUUUGUGUCGUGUUUGAACUUGAGUUUGUGUCGUGUUUGAACUUGAGUUUGUGUCGUGUUUGAACUUGAGUUUGUGUCGUGUUUGAACUUGAGUUUGUUGCAAUUUUUGAACUUGAGUUUUGAACUUGAGUCUUUGGUUUUUAGUGAACUUUAUUUGCUGGCAAUUGUUAAACUUGAGUUUGUCGCGUGUUUGAACUUGAGUUUGUGUUGUUUUUUAACUUGAGGUUUUGGCAAUUGUUAAUCUUUAGAUUUGGGUGUUGGUUGAACUUAAAACUUUGACAUUUGUUGAACUUGACUUUGUGGUGUUCAUUUAACUUGAGUUUGUGGUGUUUUUGAACUUGAAUUUUUGUGUUUUUUUGAACUUGAGUUUGUGGUGUUUUCGAAUUUGAGUUUCUGUUGUCUUUGAACUUGAAGUUGUUGCAAUUGUUAAACUUGAGAUUUGGGUGUUGGUUGAACUUCAGAUUCGGCAUUUUUGAACUUGAGUUUUUGGUGUUUUUUGAACUUGAGUUUGUUGCAAUUUUUGAACUUGAGUUUGUUGAACUUGAGUUUUUGGCAAUUGUUAAAUGUGAGUUUAGGUCAUUUGUGGAAUUUGAAAUUUUGGCAUUUUUUUAACUUAAGAUUGUGGUGUUUGUUGAACUUGAGUUUGUGGCAAUUGUUGAACUUGAGUCUGUAUUUUUCCCUGAACUUUAGUUUGAAUUUUUGUGUGUUUUUUGAAUUUAAAUUUGUGGCAAUUGUUAAACUUGAGAUUUGGGUGUUGGUUGAACUUGAGUUGGUGGUGUUUUUGAACUUGAGUUUGUGUGUUUGUUUAACUUGAGUUUGUGGCGUGUUUUGACUUGAGUUUCUGUUGUUUUUGAAGUUGAGGUUGUGGCAAUUGUCAAACUUGAGAUUUGGGAUUUGGUUGAACUUGAGUUUGUGUCGUGUUUGAACUUGAGUUUGUGGUGUUUUUUAACUUGAGUUUUUGCCGGUGUUGAACUUGAGUUUGUGGCGUGUUUUAACCUGAAUUUUUGUUGUUUUUCUAACUUGAGGCUUUGGCAAUUGUUAAACUUUAGAUUUGGGUGUUGGUUGAACUUAAAACUUUGACAUUUGUUGAACUUGUGUAUGUGGUGUUCAUUGAACUUGAGUUUGUGUCUUGUUUGAACUUGACUUUGUGGUGUUUUUGAACUUGAGUUGGUGGUGUUUUUGAACUUGAGUUUGUGGAAAUUGUUGAACUUGAGAAUUGGGUGUUGGCUGAACUUGAGUUUGUGGCGUGUUUGAACUUGAGUUUGUGUUGUUUUUGAACUUGAGGUUGUGGAAAUUGUUAAACUUGCCCUUCUUGAGCCAUCAUGAAGGUGGAGGUGGCAGGGGUAGAGCAGCAAUGAACAGAACCCCCCCGGAACAGGAGCGCUUCAAGGGUAGCGGAGCAAUUAGCUGGCACGAGGGUGGAGCUGGUGUGGCAGUGUGUUGCUGGUUUGCUGUCAGAGCAGAGGAAGAGGCUGGGUUAGUGCAGAUUUAAAUAAGGCACUCUAUAGGCAAAGAACCAAUAGGAGCUAGGUGUGAAUCAGCUGAUUAUCAUCUGGUUGAGGUGGCUACUAGCCAUUGGCUGUGGAUCAGUGCUUGAUGUUCUGUCCUGACAGAACUAACGCUAUGCUUCAUUUCAGUCAGGUACACUUUGUCAAAAUUUUUAGCUUUAUUGUGCAAGUUAGAUUUGGCGGCAUGAUUCUGUUCCGGGUCCCUGCCCUUCCACGCGCUUGUGUGGAAGCCCGAGGCAGGAAGAGCCCCUUCCUGCCCUUCACGAAUCAUCAUGAAAGGCGAUAGCAGGGAGCGCACGCGAGGUUCUGUUCAGGGCCCCCGUUCUCCACGUUGGCAGGGGUGAAAGGCCAGCGGCAGGAAAAGCACCUUCCCGCCCUCCAUGUGCCAUCAUGAAGGCGGAGGAGGCGGGGGUAGAGCAGCAAUGAACAGAACCCCCCCCCAAAACAACCAUGCCGUGCAGUCUAGGAGCUAGCAGGGGAGGUGAGCGCUGCUGAAAGAAAGACGGGUUAGAGAGACCCAUUGCCCAAGCAUGGAUAUUUAUCUGCGGGUUGUUUAUAUAUUUCAUUUAAUUAGCAUCUAUGUGCCAAAGUUAUGGGUACUCAUAGUUUUUGGGCUUCGAGAAUGUCCCGAGCCUCGGGGCGCAGAUAGCGUUUGUACGCAGCUGACGACUAUUGGCCCAUGGCUUUGAGGGUCGGCACAGGAGCCGUCAUAGCUGCGGUUGUAGCUGCACCUAUGUGAAAGGAAUGAGCCAUGUAGCGAUCUGAAGGAUGUGUGGAGGGCGAUCAGCUAAGCUGUCAUCUGACUGAGGGCUAGCUUAAGAUCAGCUGGCUUUAACCUUUAGCUUGACUGUACCUUGUGUCCUGCCUGAACUACAGCCAUGCUUAAUUUCAGUCAGGACUACUUUAGUUAGAAUCAAUUAUUUAUUACUAGCAAAAAAAUUUUUAACAUUGUCGGUAUGGCUCUGUUCUGAGAGUUCCCUGCUCUCUCAUGCGCUUGCAUAGAAUCCCAAGGCAAUGAGAGGGAAUGCCCUCCCCUCCCUUUCAUGUGCAUAUAUGAAAAUCCAAGGCAGAAAAAGCAGCAGCCAUACUGGCAACCCUCCUGUUAGGUCUAAAACCUGCAACAUUUACCUGAUAACAUAUAAAGAAGAGAAAGACAAUGGUAUAUACUCGAGGAGAAUGGACCGAGAUAGCUUCAGGUACUAUAUCGAAACCACUCUAAAGGUAUUUCCGCCCAGUCUCUUUUAUUUAGUCUUGUCCCUGGUUACACAAUGUUUCUAAAAGGGUGGAGAAAAAUAUGUGUAGCAACGUAAGCACUCUCAUAAAGCAUAAUAAUGAACAACUUGUGAAUAUGUGAAGGUCAAGGCGGCAUCUAACGAGCUCCUUCUGAUAACAGCGGCACCUCCUCAAAAACUCCCCACGAUUUACAGCGGAGGAUCCAUCACUCACACACCCCCACCUGCUGAUAGGAAAGACACAGUCACAGAAAACUGAAGGAAACAUUGUUCUGCUGUGUAGUAAAUCUAUUGGAGAGAGAAGUUAGGAAACACUCUUAUAUAAUGUAUAAAAAGAGGUCAAAGCAGUUUACACUUGUAGUAUAAACUCUUACAUAAGAAUAUGAGGAAUAAUGAUAACUUCUAUAUACAUUUAUGCACAUUAUUCUAACAUUUCCCUCCUGUUUAUCAUUACUUUGCUCAAAUUCUAAUAAUCCCUCUAGUUCAGCCACUUCUCUCGAUUUUCAGCUGCGAGUUCAUGUUUAUAACUACAAAGAAUUUACACACGGAGGUACAAGGUGUUGCUUUAAUCAGAAUUAUACUCAUCAUCCGGAUUGGGGCACAGGUCAGGCCAUUGAGUGUCAUCAA
Molecule: non-coding RNA, 47325 nt
Organism: Xyrichtys novacula (pearly razorfish)
Lineage: Eukaryota; Metazoa; Chordata; Actinopteri; Labriformes; Labridae
Source: the annotation of a GenBank genome assembly